This 85945-nucleotide long non-coding RNA is filed under the name Nicotiana tabacum (common tobacco). RNAcentral's name for it is "long non-coding RNA (NTAB_LNC006370)". The record is from RNAcentral. Lineage: Eukaryota; Viridiplantae; Streptophyta; Magnoliopsida; Solanales; Solanaceae.
CAGUGGCAGCUCACGCGGGUGCUCUGGCUGCACCACGUGUGCGUCCUUGGGCUAUACCCUAGCCUCUAACGGCUGUAGUAGGGGGCGCGAGUACCUAAUCAUCUCGGGUAGCAUGUGUCCUCACUGUUUAUGAGAGAAUAGAAGACAGAAGUUUAGAAUGGUGAUGUCAAAAUAUCGCACGACAAGGAAAUAAAUGAAGUGGAAUUUUCCUAACAGUUACAUAGCCUCUCAUAGAUAAGUACAGACGUCUCCUUACCGAUCAAUGAGACCCUAAUAAACCGGCUUGUGAUCCAUGACUCCUAUGAACCUAGUGUUCUGAUAUCAACUUAUCACGACCCCGGUUCGCCCUCCGUGAACCAUAUUGAUGGCACCUAGUCUUUACGACUAGGUAAGAUUAAUUUGCAGAAGAAAAACCCAAAUUUGCGAAAAUAAAUAAUUUAAAAUAGAAAUAAAGCAGUAAUAGUGUUUAAAUGUGUCGCUUGGCAUACACCAUGUUUAACUCUCAAUACCAAACAUAAAUCCAAAACUCAGAAACCUAUGAAUCACAAGCUAAGAUCAAUACUACAUAGCUCUAACUCUGGAAUGUCUAAUAAGAACAUGAAGGUAUAGAAGGGCUAAAUACUAAAAGCAGGAAUAGAAAGGGACUACUCGUUCUAUGGACGCGGCAGAUAUACCUCGAAGUCUCUAAAGUAGACGGCUCCCUCAAGGAUAGUAGACCUGAUCAGCGGUACCUGGAGCUGCACAUAAAAAACAUGCGCAGAAGAGGCAUGAGUACACCACAGCGGUACUCACUAAGUGCCAAGCCUAACCUUGGUUGGGUAGUGACGAGGAAGGUCAGAGCCCUACUGAGGUUAAAUAAAAUAUAAAGAUCAAUAGUAUAUAAUGCAAUAGUAUAAAUAAGUACAACAGUAAAAUAACACAAGAUGAACAGAACAACAACAACUAUACAGAACAAGGUAAAAGUGGAAAGGAAAUACAGCUCAGCACCAAUGUAACAAUCGGGGAUCUCCCAAGAUACCAUCCUGUAGUCCCAUCUUUACAUAUCCAGUGAAUCUCCAGGGAUACCGUCCCGUAGUCCAUCAUAUAUAUAUGUCUGAAGGAUCUCCCGAGAUCCCGUCCCGUAGUCCAACUCAUAGUGCGCGGCGAUCUACCAGAAUCCUGUUCCGUAUUCCCAAUUGUAAAUACCCAGUACUGGGGGAAUCUACCGGGUGCAUUCCUAUAGUUCCAUAUAACGGUGCAGGGGGAUCUACCGGGAAUCUAACCCGUACUCCCAAAGUAAAUGUGCAGGGGGAUCUACCGAGAAUCUAACCCGUAGUCCCAAAGCAAACAGACAAGGGGGAGCUACCGUAAUCUCACAACCAUAGUCCCAAAAUAAAUAAAGAACAACAGCUGGAAGGUAUACAACAAUUGCAAAAUUUUGUAUUAAGGCAAUAAGUGAUUUUAGUCUAGCAUGCUGCACUAAAUUCAAGUAAGGCAGGUUGAAUAAAUUAAAGCAAUUAAGUCACUUAGACAUGCUUUCCUAAUCUAACAACAGGCUUAAUAGUGCAAGAAAUAGAAAGAGGAAAGGAAACAUACUAGUAAUUACUUAAGAAAACCGUAAUUCCAACAAUUAGCACAAGUACGCACGCGUCACCUCAUGUACAAGGCAUUUCAAUUACCAAAUAUACCAAUCCUAAGAGGAAGGUCCCCCACACAAGGUUAGACAAGCCACUUACCUCGAACAUGCUCAAAAUCAACGCAACACCACAUUUUUGCCACGAGUACUCGACUCCAAAUGGCCCAAAUCUAUUCAAUUCAAUUGCAUAAUGUAAAUAGCACUUCAAGUAACUGAUUCUACAAUUAAAUUCUAAGCUAAUACGCAAAAUUAUGUAAAAUAACCAAAAUGCUCCUCGGGCCCACGUCUCGUAAACGAGUGAAAAUUUUCAGAAACCUCAUACUCUCACGAGUCUAUACAUAACAAGAACACUAAAAUCAGAGUCCAAAUGACCCCUCAAAUCCUCAUUUAAAGGCCUCUUAAACUCAAUCCCUAAUUACCCAUUUUUCCCAAAUUUCUCACCACCAAUUAGGUCUUUAAUCACAUAAAAAUGAGUUAUGAAGUCAAUGAUGUUAUCUCCAAGUGAUUCCCCUUUGUUUUCCUCAAAAAUCUCUUUUAAAAGCUUCAAAGCCGGAUGAAAAUGGUGAAAAGAUCCCUCAAAUUCGUAAAGGCAACUAUUUAUAUGUUCUGCCCAGAGAUUUUCCGCAUUUGCAGCCCUGAGACCGCAUCUGCGGUCCCGCUUCUGCGGAACAAGUGUCGCAUCUACGACUUUCACUUAAGGACCCAGCUUUCACAUCUACGGAACUCUAACUUCAAGAGUAGUUCCGCUUCUGCGGACAUCUCACCUCAUCUGCGGUUCUUGAGGGAAAUACCAAAUUUCGCUUUUGCGGUCCUCUUCCCCGGUUCUGUGGUCCCCAAACCGCAUAUGCGAAAAUACUAGAAGAACAGCUGUUGCAGCAACUUCAACCCCAAAAUUUCCUCCGUUAACCAUCCCAAUUCAUCCCGAGGCCCCCGGGACCUCAACCAAAGGCAUCAACAUAUCCUAAAACCUUAUUCAAACUUGCACAAAUCUUCAAAAUACUUCAAACAACAUCAAAACAACCAAAACACAUCAGAUUCAAGCCUAAGUUUAUAAAAUCUUUCAAACUCUGCUUUCGGUCAAAAACCCAACCAAAACACGUUCGAAGGACCUGAAAUUUUGCACACACAUCCCAAAUGACAUAACGGAACUACUGCAACGCUCGAAACUCCAUUCCAACCCUCCGAUCAAAAUCUUACUAUUGAACCGGAAACUUCCAAAAUUCAACUUUCGGCAUUUCAAGCCUAAAUUAGUUACAGACCUCCAAAACACAAUCUGAACAAGCUCCUAACCCUAAAAUCAUCCAACGGAGCUAACGGAACCAUCAGAUUUCCAUUCCAAGGUCAUCUUCACACUGUUCUGACUACGGUCAACUUUCCAACACUUAAGCUCUCAUUUAGGGACUAAGUGUCCCGAAAAUCAAAACUAAAUAUCCUGGCAAACCACAUUAGUAGAAAUAAACUUGGGGAAAGCAGUUAAUAGAGGAUCGGGGCAUUAAUUCUUAAAAUGACCGGUCGGGUCGUCACAGAUCAAAACAUAAGUCAAUAACAAUACCUCAUGGACAAAAAACCAUGAGAGUGUUUACCGCGAAAAUGGUAAUUACAAUUAGAUUUGAUUUUGUGGUUCUAAAAAUAUGUGAUCUAUUUUUAUGCUAGUUGUUAGGCAAUGGAUGCUAGGUGAAAGACUUGGAAACAAGAUAAUAUGUUGAAAACAAUGUGAUAAUCAAACCGAAUGGCUAAUAAUCGGGGACUCGAGACCCUGCAGAGAAUAGUCUACGGAGGACUAACAUGUAUGAUAAAUUCAAUGGCGGAUGUUUACCGUUAAAAUGGCAAUAAUAAUUAAAUUUUAUUUAGUGGUUCAAAAAAUACGUGAUCUAUUUUUAUAGUAGUUGUUAAGCAGUUGACGCUAUGUGAAAGAUUUAGAAAUGAGGUAAGAGCUUGAGAGCAAGGUGAUAACUAGACCGAAUGAUCAAUAAUCGGAGCCUCGAGCUUGCCUAUUCGAGGGCCUCGGGGUCGAGUCUGAAGCUCGGUUGGGAGCUGUCGAGAGGCAACUAACAGUUACUAUAAAUCAAUGACGGCCUUUUAUGGCCAAUAAUAAGCAAUAAAUGAUGAACAAUAAAUAGAACACAAUAAAUAUAAGCAAUAAAUAAAAUAAUGAGAUCAAGAGAAUAUGUUAGAGAGAAGAGAGAAUGUUCUUGUGUAUUUAGUAUUGAGCAACAGAUGUUUACAUAAUGACAAUGAUCCCCUAUAUAUAAGGGGGGAAUCACAAUAUAGUACAAAUGCAUUGAUUACAAAGAUAUGGGGCUGGUACAACCAUUUAAUGCCUUGAUUUGCUUUUCUUACUAAGUCCACUAGACUUGGCUAGCUAUAUGUACGCACCUUGGGAACUUCAACUUGAUCCGUCGAGACCACUAAGUCACACAACUUCGAAGUUGAUCACCGAGUACCCUCAGAGUUGACCACUGAAAACCCUCAGGAUGCCUUGAUGAUUGUAAAAUCGAACGGCCGAUUUCUACCGUAUACAAAUAGUCCCCGCAUUUCCUAGAACAAAGUGAUAGGAAACGAUUUUGAACUCCUACUCCUUAAGCAUCAUAAUCGUGACAUCAGCCCAUUAGAGCAUUGAAUUCCACAACUCAAAAGCCGCACAAGGGUCGCCGUCUAAGACGACUAUUGAGAAACCCAUAAACUGCUAUUGGUUCGUCCUUUCUGAUGUCCAUAUGACCUCUAUGAAUGCAUUAGUCGUUUGAUAAUUCACAUUUUUACAACAAAUUUAAGUUUUCAAAUCCAAAUUCAUCCCCUUUCACAUUCUUCCUUCUUCUGUGCUUGAUUCUCCGCCUACUUUCUCAGAAAGGCCCUUUCACUAUCAUGGCUAGAACUUCCAAAAUGGUUCCUUAGAAAGACGAGGAUACCAAUUCAUCUCGAACAUCCAAAAGAAAGCCCAAAGUGAUACCCACCAUUGAACAGUGUACCCCUGCUGAAUUCAGCACGACAAAUGAUUUUUCUAUCGAUAGACCCUCGUCUACACCGGGCCGGUAUGAACAUGUGUCCCAGUAUAUUAGUGUUGUGACUGACAUAGGGAAAGUGAAGAAAGACUGCUGAUAGAAGCAGACGGUGCUGGUUGAGAUCCCCCGCUCUAACGAGAGCAUAACGAAGCACAAGGCUGGUUUUCUUUAUUUAUAUACGAACCCAUUCACUUUGGGUACGGUUUAUUCUUCGAACCCUUCUUCCCCAAUGAUAAACUCGGUCAUUCUCGACUUAUGCGACAAGUAUGGGGUGACACUCGGCAAAAUCUAUCCCUCUUUCUGGAGGAUAGUCUACAUGCUCUACCACAUCUCCAAUGAGGUCGAGGGUGAGACCUGUACCCUCGACUAUUUGAUUAGAUUGUAUAGCCCUCGAUUUAAUAAGGGUUAGAUUAAGAUUCACCACUGGUCCAAAAAGUCAUUUUUCCCGAGCAUCGAUAAGGACAAAGAUCGAGGAUGGAUGAGCAGGUUCGUCCGAGUGCAGACCUCGGACAUCUUCCCUGCCGAAAAGAUCCCCUUCCCGGAGGAGUGGAACACACAGCGUAAAUACCUUUCCUUCGAACAAGCUUUAUGGUCUAUUUACGUUUAUCCAAAAAAUGAUCUCCUCUUAGUUUGUGCAGCUAACGUUUGGUAUCCUGAAGUGGUUCAGGAUCUUGCGGGAUGGAUUAGGCGGUUGGAUACCUCAUUCCCAUAUCUCGUAUGGUCUUGGCCUGACCUGGCCAAAACGCGGUGGGUGGCCAAGAAUCAUGGUAAAGUCCUUCUUGCCACCUAUAUCUUAUUUUUAUGCUUCCCUUCUGUAUCCUUUGUACUGAUAAAUUUUGGCCACUAUGUUUGCGCAGGUUUUGGCGAUGGAGUGCAGAUGAGACUACCUCCCAACGGCGAGGUGGAGACUUCGGAUCUUGUUAAGGAUAAGAAGAGGAAGAAUAAGGCUGUUGCUGAUUCUCCAACGGCCAAUAAACCUAAAUCACACAGGCCUCGAGCUGCCACUAGGACCUCGGCUUCAACUUCCAUAUGAAGUCCCAAUACUAGGGAUGAAGACGAUGAUGAGGACGAGUACCAUUUGGUACCAAGAACAAGGUCGGAUGCAGAUGUCCCGUAGGUGCCCCGACCAGAGGCUGUUGAAUCGGGAACAGUCGAUUCAGACCGAUCCCGUGUGAUAGAGACCCUCGAGGAGGGUGCGAAUGCGUUCCCCGAGCCCUUGACCGAGUUUGGUGCAGUUCCCAUUGCAGAGACCAUUGCUACUAGUUCCAAAGGUUCUGGGCUGGAGCUAUUCGGGGGCAGUAUUUUCCCCUUGGAGACAUCAAUGCCCUAGGUGACCUUAAUUUGGGCCCUCAGUUCUCGUCUGGGCAGUUAAGGGAUGCUUAGGACUCGAAUGCUGCCAAUGGGGGGGUUCCUCUCGAGGUUGGAGGUGCGCUUGGAAACUUCCUUGAUGACGUUGACGAUGCCAGCGAGGACAUCGAUCUCGAUGCUCCCAGCGCUAUCGAGGCAGCGAAGAAGUUCCAGCGGUAGGUGAUAGUUGUUCAUGUAUACUUUUCUAAUCUCAAGCAUUUUUCCUCGUUUUUCUAACUUUUCUGUUUCACCGUAGUCUAAGGAGAUAUAUGAUCACGCCCUCUCUAUGCUCCGAGAGGAGCUUUCAUGCCGUGGAAAGGAGCUCGAGAAACUCACCUCGGGACUGUAGGAGUCAGAGGCCUCCUCUGCCCGAAAGGACAAGGAGCUAAGCCAACUUCGGGUGAAUUUUGAGGGAGUGCUCCGAGAAAUGGUUGGCCUUGAUGAACAAGUAACUCGAUGUUCAUAAAGCCAUUCAUCGUUCCCAUAAUUCAAUGUUUACUUACUUAUCUUUUCCUCUGCAGAUCGGGAAGAAGAAUGCGGAGAUCCUUGAGUUGAGGAAGUGAAACGAGGUAGUGACCUUGGAAUUGGAAUUGACCUAGGGUCUUCUCCAAUGUGCUCAAAUAUAGAUUGGUGCGCUAUCUGCAGCCAAUUUCGAGGUCGAAGAAAAAGUCGCUACUUAUCCAAAGGACGCUGCCACUGUGAAUCAAAUACCCCAAAAUAUAUCAGUAGAGGCUGAGCAAAAAUUAAAUCGAACGGUCGCUCACGCAAGUGCAAAGGCGAAGAGAAGCCUUAGAGGAAGCCGGUGCUAAAGGUGCCGAUCUCUCAGCUGAGAUCGAGAAGGCCCGAGUGUCGGAGGAUGAAAUGGCACUCUUAGUCUUUUUGGACGAAGGUCCUAGAGAUGGUUCAGAGUGUAGUGGCGAUGAAGAGUAGGCCUGCGUCGCCUUUGCUUCGUUUUUUGCUUUUUGUGUAUGUAUUCCCGGCGAAACAAGUCUUGUAAAGAUGCCCCUUGUAAAUAUAUUUUUUGGCAAUGCAAGAGAAUUUUUUCUGUUUCAAGUCUUUCUAUUCUUUAUAUUUCAACGUUCAUGCAGAGUUAGCCUUCGAUUAUUGAUGUUGGCUUUAUGGAGCCCGUAUUUAGAGUAAUCGGGGAGCUCGAGAUCGGGUACCAUCUCAAAAUUGACCGAUAGAUCCGUUGGGGCUGAUGCUUACAAUAGUAGGGAAUCUCGGGGUCUAAAUACCCCCGAGGUGGUCCUGCCAGUACAUUUCCCAAAAAAUGUUGUUGUCAUGGCCAGACUUAAUUGGUCUUCUGGAUAGGCGAAUGGUCGUCGCUUGCCUUUAUAUAUGGAUUCGCUCAUUUCUCAACGGGAGAUUCUUCUAUUCUGGUUAAUCGUCCCUCUCAUAGAACUUUUUGUUUUUUGCCUUUAUCUAAAUCAUCAUCCUCCUCUUCCUAUUUUACCGCAGCAAUGGCUUCUACAUCGACAUCCACCCAUCAAGGAGAGGGGAGUUCUGCCUUUGUUUCGUGUCCAGUCAAUGGUAUACCAUCAGUACCCGAUAAGCAGGCCUCGAGGUUCUUUGUCUCGAGGAGAGACUUUACGUUGGAGAGACCUCCCAACAUUCAAGGUCAUCGAGAGCAUGCAUCGAGGUUCAUCUCUUCAAUACGGGGGGACAUCUCGAGAUGAUUAGGAAAGACUGCAGAUGGUGAGAAGGAGUGGUACUGCAGGAACCUUCCCUAGAGGAAAGCAUCAUGACCCAUGUCAAGGGGUUUUUGAGCAUACAUCUGUAUCUGGUUACCCUGGUGCAGGCUUACCCAUCACUUUGGAAGAUAAUAUUGAUGAUAAGGUACUUUGCGGAUAAGGCCGGGCUCGAAUUCACCCUUAGUCAUCUUGUUAGGUUAUAUCGGCCCCUACACUAUCGGGGCUUGUAUUUUUAUCGCUUUGUCCACAGAGGAGGCAAGCUCCAUAAAGGCAUCUUUUAUUUCAUUCUUUGUAGCGAUUCCUUGGUUACCGAACAAGGUCCCUAGUUAGGCUGAAUGGUCCCGUAAGCUGGCAGCUUGUUCGACCUAUGAUUAGCGCAUGUGGCGAGACCUGUCAAAGUGGAGAUGGGAGGCAAAGCAUCAUGGUAGGUAUUUACUGGCUUGCUUCCUCAGAAAGGUACUUUUUUUGGUGCACUAAUUCUACUGCCACAGGUGUUGGAGGUUUUUUUGAGAUGAGGCUGUGCCCCUUGGGGGAGGAGGAGAUAUUGCUGAACUCGGGGUCGAGGAUCGAUAAUAAACGGAAAAAGUCUCCGAGGUGUGAGGAUGCUCAUGGCGGGCUGAGUCCUUCUCUGAGGUUCAAAGGAGGCGAAGCCGGUCUUCCAGCUUCGGAGGCCUUUGUUUUUUGAAAGAAUAUUUCCCGUUCCCGUCAAAGAUACUUCGAGGGACAAGGGUCAUGCGACACCUUCCUCUUUUCCCACCGAAGGCGCUUCAGGGGACACUAGGGCAUCGAACGUUGGCUCAGCCUUUGGUGAGGCUCAAUGGCUUGGCUUUAUGGUAAGCUUUGGUAGCCGGUAUAGGCAUAUCUUGGUUUUGCUCCCUCCCUUUCUUAUUGAAUUUUCUAUUGCAGGCCUUUGACAAGAUUAUGUCCGAGCUGCUUUGCCAUGUGGCCAGGCUGCGGAAAGCUUUGGAGAGGGAGAAAACCCUUAGGCUCCUUUGUACGAAAAGGAAGGUGAGCUGGUAUACAUGCGGUGUGAGGUGGAUCGAAGUCGGAACUACAAAAGCCGUCUCGAAAGAUAGGUAACCUGCAGGUUAUGUUGAUGUAUGCUCCCCCUUUCAUUUUUAGAGAUUAAUAUUUUGAUAUUUCAGUUUGAGAGCAAAACGGAGGAGCUGGAACGACUUUAGGGUGAAGUUGUCCGGGUCAAUCGUGAGUUUAACUAGUUGAAGGCUCAGGUAGAUGCCCAAGUUGCGGCCAAGGAGGGUGCUUUGGCUAAGGCUUCUGCCCUCGAGGUGCAAAUAUGGAAGCUCAUGCGAAAGAUUUUGUCCGAGCAAAUAUCAUCACAAGGCUCGAGUCUGAGCUUUUGAAGGCGAAGGCCGAGGUUGUGAAUGCCCGGGGUGAGGCUAUAAUGAGCCGCACUAAGGCUGACCAGAAAGUGGCAGUCUAUUUGAAGGGUGCUGCUGAUGCUAGAGCUGAGCUGACGAAGGCUCUUGAUCGUGAGAGCAAUAAUAAAGAGUACAUGAGGUGUAAAUCUCGGAGGGAAACCCUCGAGGAAAUUCAUGCCAGGGGCUUCGACCUCUCGGAUGAGAUCAAGAAGGUGAAGGCCGAAGAAUGUGAUGCUAAAUUCCUUCUAUCCGAUGCCGUGGAUGCAAGGAUGGGGCCGUCGGGCCAUAGUCCCCAAGGGGGGCAUAUAUUUCCUUUUCUGUUUCUAUAUAUAGUACUUUCAAAGUAUGUUGUAAAUGGAGCUUGUUUUUUUCGCAUAUAUGUAUAAAGAGGAAACCUCACAGUUUUGUUUCUCUUGCAUUUCUUUUGCCUUGAUUUUGGCCAGAUGAACUGGUCUUUGAGUUGAGAGGAAUCCUUAGAUUCACGAUAUGGCCCUGGGGCUCAUUAGGCUAGCCCGUAGGCUCUUACGCGCUUGGUCAAUGCGGGCUUUAAGUAUAAGCUGGCGUUCGAACUCUUAUGCUUGUGCUCUUACGCAUGUUUGGUCAACUGUUUUAAGUUCAGUCUCAGAGUCAAGUAUCGACUCAAGCUCAUUCGACCAUCAAGUUUUUUGAAUUGCAAGUUGGCCCUUAGGUUUUUUGUUUACCGUAAAAAUGGUAACAACAAUUAAAUUUGUAAAAUGGGAUUCUAAAAAUAAGUAAUCUAUUUUUAUGCUGGUUGUUUAGAGUAGUUGAUGCUAAGAAUACGAAGUUUAAUGAUGAGAUACAAGCUAAAAAUGGGGUUGUAACAAACUGAGGGGCUUGCUGCCCGGGCUUCGAGCUGGUCGAUGUAGGGUCUUGUGGUCGAUAUCCGUCUCAGUCUCGAGCUAUCGGGGGUAUUCGGAAAUGGGAUAACAGUUAAGAUAUGAUCAAACAAGGCUCUUUAUUGCCAAGACCAAACAAUAAAUGAAGAACAAGUAAGAAACUGAUAAAUGCUAAAGUGGCCUCGAGUGAGUAAGUUAGAGAGAAGAAAGAGAGAGAGUUAUUAUUGAUAUUCUGUAUAGUAGUUGGAGCUUUACCUUACAGAGUGUUAAUGACUCCUUUUUUAUUAGAAGGGGGGAGCUCAAACUUAGCAAAAGAUACGUUGAGUGAUAAAAGAAAUGGAAUGGGACAGAUAACUAGCUUCAUGACGUAUAUGUGGGCCAAUGUUAGGCUUCCCAAAUAGACUUAAUCGACUCCGGAUGCAUUCUUCAGGAGCUUCCCGUGUUCGUCGGGGUUUCGGUCGAUGUUAUCCUCGACUGGGUGUCAACAUGUCUUGAGGGAAGUAACCGACUCGAGGUCUCGAACUUCCGAGGCGACCUACUGAAGCAAUUUGUCAAAGAGAAAUCGGUCCUCCAAUUUCACCGUGCACAGAUAGUCUCCGCGUUUCUUUGAGGGAAGCGAUAAGAAAUGAUUUUGACAUCCCACUUCACGGGCUCCUGUAAUGACGUCGGGAUGAUGGCGCAAUCCCUUUUACAAGUCCCGAGUCAUUUUACCCUUUCACUCUUUGGGGUCAUCCGAUGUGUCAUGACUCCUCGUUCUUUAGGGCCACAAUAUUGCCAUCGAUUCAGCUUCCAUGAACGCAUUGAUUACGCAUGUUGUUAUGCUUUUUGAGGGCGAUAAUGGUGUUGUCGGUUACUUUGCCCCCCUAUAAAUGGGGCUUCUUGUGAUCAAUUUUUCAUCCAAGCAUUCUUUGAUACCCCAUCCUUUCCUCCUUUCUUGCUAUUUUUAGUCUUUGUCGUCUCGCCAUGUUUGAGGCCCACGUCCUCAAGGUCUCAUGUCAACGUCAUGCGUGCUAUGGCCCAACUCUCGAUCCUUCUUCGGUUGGAUGAAGAUGUGCUGCUGUGAUGCUAUUGUUGUUGUUGUUGUUGUCGUUGCUGUCUCCGUUGGCUUGGGGAGAUGAAGUAGAGGGCGGAUUUUCUCCAACCCCGGGAGAUACUUGGAUUAUGCACCACUGCUGAAGAGGGGGCUCGGAUUAUACACCGCUGCUCACCCUCCUUCCUCGGCUUGGCGUGUUACAUCCCCUUUGGAUUCCUGGGGGUAUGGCAAUAGUCUCUACUGGUUGUUGCCUCUCGGGCUAAGGCAACAUCUCAAGAAGUGGCCUUACAAUGGUAGAACUGGCGGAGUUUGUACUAGCCAAAAUAUUCACCCAGCCACUUCUUGUCUUCUUCCGGCUUCUUCUUUGUCAUUUUUCUUUUCUCCCUAACUUUCAUCUUUUAUAUCCUUCCUUUUGAAGAUGCAAUUCCAGGAGGAUCGAGAUAAGGUCCCGGAGGGGAUUAGACUUGGAAGAUAUUGUCUUUGAGGUCACACGCCUGAGGAGAUGAUGUCGGAGACGCCGCACUUUGAGAAUAGGCUAGUUUCUUAGACUCUUGUUGCAUGCAUGCCCUUUAACUUCUUUAUUUCGGUGUAAGGAUCCCCCUUCGGGCUUUGAUAAACAUAUGCAAGGAUCCCACGAGGGCCAUUGUAAGCGAACAUUUUAUGAAUACAAAGAUAUUUCAUUGACUCCUGCCUUUGAUACUUGCUGCAUUUCUUUAUAUUUGUGGAAGCUCUUAAUGCACGAUCAUGUUUUGUCGUUGCUAACACUAAACUCGGAUGUGAGUAUUCCUUCCGGCCUUCGGUUGAUAGAAACAUCUUCGUGGGGGGCCUUACGCGAUUCCUAGGACUGAACCCGAAUAAGGCCAAUAACCUUGGACCGCAAGGACCCUGACUUUGCGUGGAAGCGAGGAUAAUCUUUUGGGCCUCAUAAUGACCUUUGAGAAGAAAUUUGAUCGAGGACCCGUGGAUGGGGGAUGCUGGUGAUUUCCUGAAAGUAGCCCCUGAGCGGAGGCUCGCUCGCACUCGGACCAUCCUAGACAGCACUCGGAGCCUGGUUCGUACGGGUGACGUUCAAAAAUGCUUAUUUCUUUACAGACUGGUUUCCCUUGGCAGAGAUCUUCGAAGUUGCGUGCCACCCUUGUGUUGGUGAAGUCAUUGUUGGCUUGCUAGAGCGCCGCCUUACUAUGACGGAGGUCUUCAAGAUCGGGUAUCGCCUCGAGGCUGGAGAUAGUGCUAUUGGUUGGCGCCUUCGGUUGGCUUCGAAUUGUCGAUGCUCUUCCAAUGUAUGACAUGAGGCUGUUUCCGCCCUCCUAGGAGUUAUCCUAUCUCAUGCAGUUGCCAUUUUCUGCGCCAUGUUUCUGGUAUCAACACAUUUGUACGUCUUUCCGCCCUUUAGUCUUUCAACUUUGCGACUGCUAUGGCGACAAUGACGAGAUUAAUCUGACCGGAGGGAGGGGGGAAAGCUCCCCCUCCGUUUUUCGGGGUCAUCGGGGUUUGAUGACUCUAUGGUGCCGGUUGAUCAUGUCCUUAAUCGUUGUUGUUGGGGAUGGAAGAAACCGGACAUGGACAAGUUGCUCUGCUCGGGUGCUGACCAUUGGUAUUAUACCUUAGGAAAUCGUAUUAUUUUCUUUGAAAAUGGAGCAAUAUUAUUUAGGCGGCGCGCCCCGUGCUUUGCCAGUUCUUCCUAUGGUGAGAGCGAACUUAGUAACUGUGUCUUCCUUCUUCCAUUAUAUUUAUUCAGGCGUUGUUGGUAUCAGAUAGUCCCCUAGGGGCGAGGUUGUGCUCCUUCAUAGAGGAGGAGGAGUUGUAGGCUUCCGAUCCAUAGGGAGAUGGCGAUAAAUGGGAUAUGCACUCGUAGUGCGAUGGAGCUUUUAGAGGGCUAAAUGGGUCCGUGUCUCCGGUGAGAGAACAUCGUCCGAGCCUGCUGUUCUUUACAUUUUUGAUUCCGGAGCGGUGGUUCCUCCGAGUGAUCAUGAUUCAACCGAAAUCAUUUCUUUUCAAGGCCGAGGGGGCUAGGCCAGCAGGAAUGUGCUUCGGCUUUCGUGGAAGUCCGCCGGCUUUACUUCACGGUGAGCUUUGGCACAGUUAUUACUCAUCUCGUGUCUUCAUUCCUUAUCAAGUUUUCCCUCUGUAUAACUUUGAUAGGCUCAGGUUUGAGCUCCCCCGCCAUGGGGCUAGACCUUGGAGAGCUCUAGAUGAGGGUAAGUCCCUUAGGCUCUUUAGCAUGGAGAAGGAAGUUGAGUUGAUGCAUUGGCGAUAUGAGGUGUAUCGGAUCUCGAAUUACGAGAGCUAUUUGAUGGGGCAGGUGACCUCUCGUAAUAAGCAUUUUGCUUUUUUAACCUUUAAGGUUAGGAUUUUGCUUAUUUUUUAGUUGCAAAAAAAAAGACGAAGGCUUAGGAGUACCUUAGGGGCGAAGACGAUCGAGUUAAGAAUACUUGUGGUGAACUGAGGGCUCGGGUGCAGGCUCAAGCUUUGAUUCGAGUGGAUAUGAUCGCGAAGUUGGAGUCUGAUCCCUCGAAGGUCUGGUUUGAAAUAAUUGAUGCUCGGACUGAAGCAACGUUGAGUCGGACCAAGGUUGAUGAGGAAAUGGUGAUCCAUUUGAAGGACGUCACUGAUGUCCGAGCUGAGUUGGAGUGGGCCCUCGAUCGUGAGAAAAGGAUCGAGGGAUACGUUCAUUGUGGAUCCCGAUGAGAGGUGCCUGAAGAGAUUAGCUCCAGGGGUUUUGUCCUCGUGGAAGAGUUUGAGUGAAGCUGGGGCUGGUAGGUCGUAAGCUUCUGGAUUGAAGCGUAGAUUUUGCCACUUUGUAUUUGUUGUUCGUAGAGCAUGUUUGUAGAUGGAGACCGCACCUUUUGCGCUUGUAAAAAGAAAAGAAACUUGAAGCUUUAUCUCCUUUGUAUCUCCCUCUGUAUUGCUUACGACUAGGUGGGCUGGUUUCGGAGCUCGUCAGGCAGGCCCGGGGGCUCUUGUACUCUCGAUAGACGUGGCAUUUAGUGCGAGCUAGCGUUAUAGCUCUUAUGCUUUGCCAAGCUGUCUUGAGUUGAGUCUCCGAUUCAGGUUUUUGACCCGAGCUUACUUGACCUUUGAUCUCCAACGCUUGCAUGGGCGACAACGACUCAUAUGCCUUGCCCCUUGGGUAUUUACUUCCUAACUACUUUGGGUUCAGUCUCCGAGUCAGGUUGUGACUCGUGCUUACUGACACUAAAAGAUUUUAUGUGCCUGUAUGGGUGAACGACAAUGGAUCUUAUGCCUUGGGUCGAAGCGACCUUUUAAGUAUAUGGCCUUGAGGCCCGUUUGGCUGGUGACAAUGGCACUUACGUCGUGCCCUUAGGCAUGUGCAGUUAACUAGAUCCAGUCUCCGAAUCGGGUUGGGACUCAAGCUCAUUUUAAUCCUCAAGUUUUCAAUUUGCAAGCUGGCAACAGUGGCUCUUACGCUAUUGGUCGUUGCGACCUUUUAGUGUGCGGCCCGGAGGUGCAUUUGGAUGGAGACAUUGGCACUUACGCUUUUGCUCGUGGGCAUAUUGUAGGCUUUGUUUUCCUCUCGUUAAGGUCUUUUUGAAAUAAUUUUGCCUGACCCGUUGUGGGUUCAGGAACAACCUCGAUUUCAAGUCGUUAGCGGCGAUGUUUGAGCACUUCGGAAGGUUUUUACCACGUAGGCUGAGUAGCUCGAAGCCUUGUGAUUUGGAGUUGACAUGGUCGAAGCUCGUUUGCCUGUUGAGGGAAGCCUGUUUUAACUGGUUCUUUUUGAAGUAGAUUUGAAGUAAUAGUCUGUGCUUUUGUUAGCGACAGUCGGGCAUCCCCGAGUCGUGUUAAUUUGGCUGGUGCAGCCAUUUUGACCGUAGUAAUAUGUGUUUGGCCAGAGCCAUUUUUAAUCCCUAACGAUAGUUUAGGCAUCUACACCGAGGGUAUGCCCUUUCGAGAAUCUUACAAAUGUGACGUAUAUCCUAAACUUCGGGAUUGAGUUUUAUGCCUGUAGUAAGGUCGUACAAAAUUUUCGUGCCUGUUGAGAUCUUACAGUUUGUCAUGUCUGUUGAGGUCUUACAGUUUGGUUGCUAUGUAAAAUAGAUCUGGCUAGACCAAGUCUGCCCACUCGGGGUCUUACGGCCUCAGGUUUUCCAGUGUAUGGCAAGCGACGACAGUCUCCGAGUCAUCGAGUUUGCUUAGGCUUGAAUACCAUUAUUUGUGAGCCCGGAGUUGCCUUGUUGGGGCCAUAUGAGCCCGGAGUUCCGACCCUGGGGUCGCGCGGGUGUCAAAUUGUUGACGCUAAGUCUCCCAUAAUUUUGGGACGCAUUCAGUGGAGGGAACCCUACUGUGAGCAUGCUGAACUUUCUUUUUGGAGCAUGAGGUGCUUUUGGUGACAGAUACCCAUUGAUCUAUUGACGUAAAUACGUGUUGUUGUGUUGAAUAGUUCUUUGCUAGACCGAGUUUGCUCGCUCGGGUUCUUAUGGCCUUAGGUUUUUAGGUGCAUGGCGACCGGUGGUAGUCUUUGAGUACUCAAGGUAACUUUGAUUUUGCUGACGCUCGGCGAUUUCUGUAUUGCCUUACCUAAAGGUUCCGUGAUUUCGGAGUUUCGACCCGGAGGCCGUCUGAGCAUUGAAUUGCUGGCGUCAGUCCCCGAGUGUUUGGGACAUUUCCGGUGAAAGAAUUGUUACCUUACUUUGCGAAGGUGUAUUUGACAAAAGGUAUUCUUUGAUUGCUUGGUACAAUAGUACAUGUAUUUGCCGGCGGGCGCCUGACUAUAUGGACACGUUUCUUUCGACCGUUUGGCCUAGUACAUUACUUUCCUACAGGAACCCUAUUUGGCGUUUCAAGACCUUUUCGAGUGGGUAGCUUUCUGUGUGAAUGCCCCUCACUGUUCAAAGUUGUUUUCAACUUGCACAGUUUUCCUUGAGCAGCUCGCAGAUGUUGCCUCAUUAAAAACCUUGCCGGUAAAACCCUUCUUUUGGGACAAAAACUCAGUCGAAGGAAAAGAGUGCAACAGGUGCAUUUUUAGAUUUUUGAGGUCUUCAAGCAAUGUUAGCGUUAUGACAGUUCCGGUCAGGUGCCUACAUAAGGGUUAGUUCUAAAUUUGAAACAAAAAAGGAGAUGGUCAUACCUUGAAGUGAGAUAUGUUGGCGAUGCCUCGGGAUUGAUUUGUUAUAAUUGCUUGAGGUGAAACGAGGUAUGGAUUCCUACUUCGUUUUGUCAAGUUCGAUCGAGGGUGAGGCCCAAUUCGCCCUUUGGUUUAUUCGGGGUGGAGGUACGAAUGUUGGUACCAUGUCGUGUAUUUUGAACAUUUCCCUUGCCACGUACUAUUCCCCGUAGACUGUUUUAAUUCCGUCCUUUAUUGGGAAUUUUACUAUCUAGUGAAGGGUGGAUGGCAAUGCUCACAUGUAGUGUAUCCACGACCGCCCGAAUAAGGCGUUAUACCUCAUGUCUCCCUCAAUGACAUGGAAUUUGGUCUCUUGGGUAGUGCCGACCACGGUAACCGGGAGGAUGAUUUCUCCUUUCGUCAUUUCGCUUGCCAUGAUGAAUCCGUUGAGGACCAGAGUGGUGGGCACGAUUUGGUUGAGCAGUCCAAGUUGUUCUAUUACCCUCGACCUGACAAUAUUGGCCGAGCUACCUAGAUCCACGAGUACACAUUUUAUCUGAAAAGAAUUUACAAGGAAGGAAAUUACCAGGGCAUCGUUGUGGGGUUGAGACAGGGUCUCGGUGUCUUCUUUGCUGAACAUGAGGGCAUCUUCGGGGAUAUAUCCUCGAGUCCGCAUUUCUCUGGUGAUGUAUAUUUUUGUUCUUCUCAUUACGGGUUCCUGCAGGGCAUCUGCGCCCCCAUGAUCAUAUGGAUGACAUGUUGCGGUUCAUUUGCCUUGUUCUUCUUGGUUGCCUCCCUUUAUCGGAACUGGUUUUUGGCUCGAUCGCUAAGGAAUUCCCGGAGAUUUCCUUUGUUAAGUAAUCGAGCUACCUCCUCUUAUAGAUGAUUACAAUCAUCGGUCCUAUGGCCGUGCGUGUUGUGAAACUCGUAGACUAGGUUGUAAUUCCUCUGCGAAGGAUCUGACUGUAUCAGUUUGGGCCACUUGGCAUCUAUGAUCUUACUGAUAGUGAACACAAUGUUUGACACAUCGAUGUUGAAGUUGUAUUCUGACAGGUGGGGCUUACCCAUUAGCACUACAUUUCGAUCAAACCUGGUUUAGUUGAUGAGCCCUCGAGGAUCCUUUCCUCGAUCUACCCUCCGAUCACUACGAGGUAGGUUGCACCUCGGGGCAUUCCUCCUAUCCUCAAGGUAUAGCUGAUACCUUUCUUUGUUUGGUUUCGGUUCCUUUGCCAGGAGCCUGCUUGGGUAUACUGAGCCCAAAGGGGUUCCCAACUAGUCAUCCUCAGCUCUAAUGUUCGACUGAUACCGGUUGUGGACGUCCGACUAGGUUACGGCCGGAUACUCGAUCAGGUUCUGUUUUACCUAUUUUGAAGCCACCAAGCUUUAUUCGUUCAGGCCUUAGGUGAAGCCUGUACUGCCCAGUCAUCGGAGACUGGCGGUAGCUCCAUCUGUUCCAUCUAAAAGCGGGACACGAAUUCCCGCAGCAUCUUGUUUUCUCUUUGCUUGAUUUUGAAAACAUCAGAUUUCCUUUUUUCUACCUUGAUGGCUCCGGCAUGUGCCUUUACGAAGGAGUCUGCUAGCAUGGUGAAUGAAUCUAUGGAAUUAGGAGCCAAGUUGUGAUACCACAUCAUGGCCCCCUUCGAGAGUGUUUUCCCAUAUUUUUUCAGCAAUACGGACUCGAUCUCGUCAUUCUUUAUAUCGUUACCUUUUACUGUGCAGCUGUAGGCAGUAACAUGUUCAUUAGGGUCGGUGGUACCGUUGUACUUAAGGAGUUCUAGCAUUCUGAACUUCUUUGGAAUGGGCUUCGGGGCUGCUUCCUCGGGGAACGACCUUUGUAUGAACUUCUUCGAAUCCACGCCUUUGAGGACCAGGGGCGCACCCGGGAUUUGAUCGACCCUAGAGUUGUAGGUCUCGACCUUCUUAUCGUUGGCUGCUAUCAUUUUCUCACCCGAUUUGAUCCUUUUGGUGAGGUCCUCAAGCAUCUUUACUAUGGCAGGGUCUGCUACCUAUCCAUUAUUGCUUGAUCUCUCGGGUACUUGUUCGGUGGGGGGAGCUGUUUCCGGUGCUGCUGUGCUGGGAGGCUUCGGAUGGCUUUGUAACUGAGCGAUGGCCAACUGUUGUGCCUACAACAUAUCAAAAAUAACAUGAAGACAAACUUCUUGUUCUUCCCGAGUUGGGGGUUCUUUGGGCUUCCUGUCGUUCGCUAUGUUGUAUGCUCCUAUCGGUGUGUGAAGUUUCAUCGACCUGUUGUGCGUCCUGUGAAUCCGCAUCUGCUAGAAUUGGUCCGGGCGCAUUAUCGGGAUUCUGUGGUGGCUCACCGACAGUCAGAAUAGCCACGCCGUUUUCCCCAUGAUUUUUGAGGUUGUCGUUCUCGACUCUGCCAAAUAUUUUGACCUGAAAUCAAAGAUCUCGAGCAAGAAAAAAUGUGAAAGAUAACUUGUGUUUGUGUAAUGAAACUAGCAAGAAAAUAAUCACUAUUAUUUCUACUGUUUACCGUGAAAAUGGUAAGAACAAUUAAAUUUGUAAAACGGGACUCAAAAAAUCCGUGAUCUAUUUUUAUGCUAGUUGUUUAGAGAAGUUGAUGCUAAGAAUAUGAAGUUUAACGAUGUGAUACAAGAUAAAAAUGGGGUAGUAAUCAAACUGAGGGGCUUGCUUCCUAGGCUUCGAACUUUUCGAUGUAGGGCCUCAGGGUCGAUAUCCGGCUCGAUCUCGAUCUAUCAGUGGUAGUCGGGAAUGGGAUAACAUUUAAGAUAUGAUCAAACAAGGCUCUUUAUGGCCAAGACCAAGCAAUAAAUGAAGAACAAGUAAGAAAGCGAUAAAUACUAAAGUGGCCUCGAGUGAGUAGGUUAGAGAGAAGAAAGAGAGAGAGAUAUUAUUGAUAUUUUGUAGACUAGUUGGAGCUCUACCUUAUAGUGUGUUAACGACUCCCUUUUUAUAAGAAGGGGGGAGCCCCAACUUAAUACAAGAUACGUUGAGUGAUAAAAGAAAUGGGAUGGGACAGAUAACUAGCCUCAUGACGUAUGCGCAGGCCAAUGUUAGGCUGCCCAAAUAGAAUUAAUCGACUCCGGAUGCAUCCUUCGGGAGCUUCCCGUGUUCGUCGGGGUUUCGGCUGAUGUUAUCCUCGGCUGGGUAUCGACAAGUCUUGAGGGAAGUAAUCAGAUCGAGGUCCCGAGCCUCCGAGGCGACCUACUGAAGCAAUUUGUCAAUGAGAAAUCGGUCCUCCGAUUUCACUGUGCACACUCUUAUGCAUUGGGUCGGCGUGACCUCUGGUUUUAGUUCUGGCGACAGUAGCUCUUACGGGUUUGGUCGGUGCGACCUUUGAUUUUAGUUCUGGCGACAAUGGCUCUUACGCUUUUGCUCUUAGGCAUAUUUAGUUAACUGUUCUGGGUUCAGUCUCCGUAUCGGGUUUCAACUCGAGCUCAGUCGACCCUCAAUUUUUUCGAAUUUAGAGUUGUCCCUUAGGCUCUUACGCGUCGGGUCGGUACGACCUUCUGUGUGGGCUAGUGACAAUGGCUCUUACUCCUUAGGUCGAUGCCACUAUUUAUGUGGGAUGGCGAUAGUGGCUCUUACGCCUUAGUUUGAUGCGACCUUUUAUGUAGUCUUUAUUUUUCCCUCAAUGAGGAUUUAUUGAAAUAGUGUUUACCUGACUCUUCGAUGGUUUAAUAAAAAACCUUGAUUGUGAGUCAUUAUAUGGCAAUGAUCGAGCACCUCGGGAGGUUUGGCUCGGAGGCUGAGUAUAUCAAAGCCAGUGUUUAGGAGCUAACAUGGUCAAAGCUCUUUUGCCUAUGUCGAGGGUAGCCUAUUUAACCAGUUCUUUCCGAAGUAUAUUCGAAGUAAUUGAAGGCUUAUGAUUAAUAGCGACGAUCGAGCGUCCCCAAGUCGCAUUAGUUUGUUAUGUUUGGCUGGAGCCUUUAAGUCCCGAGUGAAGUAGUUUCGGCAUCUAUAUCGAGGGUAUGCCUUUUUAGGGGUCUUACAAGUUCAAUAUAUAGCCUAAACUUUGAGAUCGGGUUUAUGCCUUUAGUAAGGUCUUACAAGUUUUACAUGCCUUUGAGGUCUUACAGAUAUUGUUGUUGCCUUAUAUAGUUCUUACGAGACCGAGGCUACCCGCAUGUGGCCUUACGGCCUCGUGUUUGAUAAGCCAAUGGAGAUGGCGAUUGGCGGCAGUCCCCGAGUCAUCGAGGGUUUCUUGGAUCGUGAGACAUUACUUGUGAACUUGUUAUUACCUUAUUGAGAGCUUGCAAUUUUGGAGUUUCCGACCCAAAGGUCGUGUGGCCUUGAGUUUUUGAUGCCAGUCCUUGAGUGUUUGGGAUGUUUUCGGUUCUGCAGCUGCAUUGUGAUCUUGAUAUUGCCUUGUUGAGGGCUUACGAGUUAGGAGCUCUGACCCGGGGGUCGCAUCAUUUUAAGUUGUUGACGCCAGUCCCUGAGUGUUCGGGACGCUUUUGAUAGAGGAGCCAUUUUUGCAAAAAUACCAAGUUUUGUAGAAACGCAAAAUGCUUUUGGGAAGUAUUCUUUGAUUACUUGGUACAAGUAUACAUGUCUUUGUUGUUAAGGGAGCAGUUGUUCUAUAUGGACACGGUUCAUUUGACUGUUUGGUCCGGUACAUUAUUUUCCUAUCGAGCCCCUUUUGGCGUAUCUUGGCUUCUCCGAGUAGGUGACCUUCCAGGGGGAUGCCCCCCAAGUAUUCGAGGUUUAUUGCAAAAGAAGCCUUGGAUACUUGUUGAGUCUUCCUUAGGUAGCAUAUGGAUGUUGCGUCAUUAAAAACCUUACCGGUAAAAACUCUUUUUGGGAUAAAAACUCGGUCUAAGGAAAAGAGUGCAACGGAUGCUUUAAAACCUUUAGGUCUUCGAGCUGGGUUAACGCUUCGACUGUCUCAGUCGGUCAUCUGCAUUAAGGUGAGUACGAGGUGUAAAUUGAAAAGGGAGAUGGUUGUACCUUAGUGGCGAUGGCUUUGAACCUCAGCAGGCCUUCAGUUAUUUGCUCGAAGGACGCGGUACAACCCUUUGUUUGUUAUUCGGAAACAGUCAAGAAUAUGCCUUAUGGUCUCCGUGUUGAAUCCCUUGAGGGUUCAAGGGGUAGGCAUAAUUUAGUCAAGCAGUUCAAGCUGCUCUGUUGCCCUCGACCUGAUAAUAUUGGCCGAGCUACCUGGACUCACAAGCACAAGUUUAAUUCGAAAUGUAUCCACAAGAAAAAAAGUUACCAGUGCAUCGUUAUGGGGCUGAGAUAGAGCCUCAAAUUCGCUUUUUCCUAGUGAGGGAUGCUUUCGUUCGCCUGACCGUGGGUUACAGGGCACCGAUGUUUUUUUUAUUUUAAAAAUUGUAUGGGUCACAUGUUGCAGUUCAUUUGCUUCGUCCUUCUUGGUCGCCUCUCUUUCCCAAAAGUAAUUUUUUGCUCGGUCGCUAAGGAAUUCCCGGAGGUGACCUUUCCUAAGUAGUCGGGCUACCUCUUCCCGGAGUUGUCGACAAUUUUCAGUUUUGUGACCGUGUGUGUUAUGAAAUUCACAUAGUAAGUUAUGGUUCCUUUGUGAAGGAUCUGAUUGUACAGGUUUUGGCUACCUGGCGUCUGUGAUUUUAUUGAUGGCGAACAUGAUUUCUGAUAUAUCGACAUUGAGGUUGUACUCCGACAAGCCAGGCACCUCCAUCAGCCCUGCGUACCUAUCGAACCUAGCUCUGUUGACGAGUCCCUGAGGAUUCUGGCCUCGGUCCAUUCUUCGAUCAUUGCAGGGUAUGUUACACCUCGGGGUGUUUCUCCUGUCUUCGGUGUAUGGCUGGUACCUUUCUUUGUUGGGCUUUGGCUCCUUCGCCAGAAGCCUUCUUGGGUAUACCGAGCCCGAUGGGGCUCCUAGUUGGUUGUCCUCGACCCUGAUUUUCGAUUGAUAUUGAUUGUGAAUGUCCGACUAGGUUACAGCGGGAUAUUCAACCACAUUCUAUUUCAGUUGCUUCGAAGCCACCGAGCUUCAUUCAUUCAGACCUUGAGUAAGAGAUUGGUGGCAGUUCCAUUCAUUCCAUUUGAAAGCGAGAUACGAACUCUCACAACAUCUCAUUCUCCCUCUUCUUGAUCUUGAAUACGUCGGACUUCCUCGUUGCUACUUUGAUGGCACCGGCAUGUGCCUUUAUGAAAGAAUCUGUCGGCAUGGCAAAUGCGUCUAUGGAGUUAGGAGCUAGGUUGUGAUACCACAUCAUGGCCCUUUUUAGAGUGUUUCCCCAAACUUCUUUAGCAAGACGGACUCGAGUCAUCCUUUAGGUCGGUGCCCUUCACUACACAAGUGUAAGCAGUAACGUGCUCGUUGGGGUCUGAGGUUCCAUUGUAUUUCGGAAGAUCCAACAUUAUGAACUUCUUUGGAAUGGGUUUUGGAGCCGCUUCUUCAGGGAACAACCAUUGUAUGAACUUCCUCGAAUCUACACCUUUCAAGAUCGGAGGUGCACUCGGAAUUUGGUCGACCCUGGAGUUGUAGGUCUCUACCUUUUUAUCGUUGGUUUCUAUCUUCUUCUCGCCCGAUUUGAUCCUCUUUGUAAGAUCCUCGAGCAUCUUUACGAUGGUAGGGUCGGCUGCCGACCCGUUGUUGCUUGAUCUCUCUGGUACCUGCUCGGCUGGGGGAGAAGUCCCCGCAGCUACCGUGCUGGGAGUUAUCUGGUAACUUUGCAGCUGAGCAAUCGCUAGCUGUUGUGCCUGCAACAUUCAAAAAUAACAUGAAGGCUAAUCUCCGUUCUUCCCUAGAUGGGGUUUACUAAGCUUCUCGUUGGUCUCCUUGGUGCACGUUCCUGUUGAGCAUCGCGUGAGACCGUGUCCACGGGAAUUGGUUCUGGUACGUUCUUAGGGUUUCGCGGUGGCACACCAACACUUGAAACAUCCACACCAUUCUCUAUAUGGUUCUCGAGAUUGUUGUUCACUGAAUCAGACAUUUUGACCUGAAAUUAAAUAUCUUGGGCAAGAAAAAGUGUGAAAGAUAACUUGCGUUAUGUAGUAAAACCAACAAGAAAAUAAUCACUAUUAUUUUUAGCCCCACGGUGGGCACCAAACUGUUUACCGUGAAAAUGGUAAUAACAACUAAAUUUGAUUUAGUGGUUCUAAAAUUACAUGAACUAUUUUAUGCUAGUUGUUAAGCAGCUGACGCUGUGUGAAAGAUUUAGAAACGAGAUAAGAGCUUGAGAGCAAGGUGAUAACCAGACCGAAUGAUCAAUAAUCGGAACCUCAAGCUUGCCUAUUCGAGGGCCACGGGGUUGAGUCUGAAGAUCGGUUGGGAGUUGUCGAGGGGCAACUAACAGUUACGAUAAAUCAAUGGCAGCCCUUUAUGGCCAAUAAUAAGCAAUAAAUAGAACACAAUAAAUAUAAGCAAUAAAUGAUGUAAUGAGAUCAAGAGAAUAUGUUAGAGAUCAAAGAAAAUGUUCUUGUGUAUUUAGUAUUGAGCAACAGAUGUUUACAUAAUGACAAGGAUCCCCUUUAUAUAAGAGGGGGAAUCCCAACAUAGUACAAAUGCAUUGAUUACAAAGAUAUGGGGCUGGUAUAGCCAUUUAAUGCCUUGAUUCGCUUUUCUGACUAGUCCACUAGACUUGGCUAGCUAUAUGUACGUGCCUUGGGAACUUCAACUUGAUCCGUCUAUGAGCACGUGAUUUUUGCCCUAUAGGAAUUACUCCCAUAAAAUACAAGAAAAAUAAUUUUUCCCAUUAUUUGUAAUUUUAUAGAUUUUUCGUAGAGUUUUGUUAAUUGCUUGAAUUUUUGUGCACAUUUACUUUCCAUCAAAAAUCAUGAAAAAUACCAAAAUUAUCAUGCAUUGUAUUUAGGUUUGUUUUAUAUUUUUGGAAGUAAUUAGUAAUUAUUUCUUUUAUUAAAAAUGAAAAUCACAAAAAAGGUCCAUUUUACAUUUUUACCUUUUAAAUUGUUGAUUUUUCUCUUUUAACUUACGAUUGAAUGAUUUUUAUAAUUUUUAUAAUUUUAUAUUUAGUUUAAUUUUACAUUAGAUUAAUUUAGGUUUAAUUUGGGAUCUUUAUUAAUUAGGAAAAAAUAAAGAAAAAGAAAAUAAAAAGCAAAAGAAAAAGAAAGGAAGGAAUUAAUAAGAGGGUUUAAUGUGAAAUGUUGAAUUUGGGCCAUUUACACCCGCAUUUUCUCUAGAAGAAUCAAGACCAAACGUGCAGUCUACCCGGUCCGGCCCACUUUCACGAUUUGGUUCUUCAUCCCCUAAGACACUUGAAACGACGUAGUAUGGGGGCAAUACUAUGUCGUUUUGAGUUCAGUUGUUUUAAGUUAAUCCUGAACCCUCAAUGUUCUCUCAUCCAACGGCCUUGAAAGUUUUCCCCAUUUUGUUUAAAAAGUGUCCAUAACUCUCUAAAAAAUAACCUAGGACCCCUGUUCUAUCUUUUCUUUCACCACCGACCGCCGCCCACCGGAAAUUGCCAGUGGCGGCGGUUGAUCUCCAAAACCCCUCAAAUCUUGACCAUUUAACCACCGUUGCCCCUCCAUUCCAAAUCCACCCUCGUUUCCUCCCCCAAACUACUGGUCCUCUUCGAAUAAGAGAUCUAAGAUAGCAAUAAAAUCCUCUUCACCCUUUUUCUUUUGAUUUCUGCCCAAUCUAGCCUCUUCUUGGUGUUGAACACGUGUUAAUCGAGCAGCUUCGAGUGAAUAGCAAAUUGGCUGAGGGUUCGUUUGGUGCAUGGUGGCCGAGUUUGGUUAACAAUCUCCGAUGGGCCAUUCUUUCUAUUUCUUCUUCGUUCUUGACUCGUGAUGGGGACUGUGACAAAGAGCACAAGCCAUUGAAUAAAUUCUGGCUAGUGCUUAAUGUUACAAAUCACACCAUGGGUUGACGUUCUUCAGGCUGGAUGCCCUCACCUUUGAGCCAUCGAUCUAGACGGUAUACUUCUAUUCCUCUUCAUCUCAGUUGGGUUUAGAAAAACAUAGGUUUUUCAGUUUAUUAAUUGGGUAAUAAUAGGUUAAGAAGCACAGUUAAUCUCUUUGUUAGCAUUUGCUAGUUUUCUUCUUUCCUUUUACUUCUUCUCUUUUAGUCUGCUUCGUUAGAAGAUCUUAUUCAAAAUUUGGUUAGUUUGGACUUUCUUGUAAAUUCAUCUACUUAGACUUGAACCUGGGCUUGCUAGUGCAAGAAGCCCAAAGAGCUUGUUGAAGUUCGUUGGUGCAGAAGCCCAAAGAAAUGUUGGGGUUAGUCAAUUCAGAAGCCCAGAGGAAUUUUGGGCAUUUUUGUUCAAAUGACUCACAAGGCUAAGGUAAUUAGAAAGCAUAUAAAGGGUAGUUAGGGGAUUUAGUUAGAAAAAAUCUUUGAUAACUGUCUGGGAAGGUUCCGGGAAGGUGGGAAUUGGGUGGUUUAACAAACAUGCUUACAUCUCAGGGUCUGAAAUGAAAAGAUGAAAAUUGAAGAGGGGAGGGUAAUGAAUGAAUAAAAUUAUGUUUUGCUGCCCUAAACUCUAAUUAUAAAAGGGCUCACACCCAUCAUUUUCUGGCAGAGAUCAGAAUACCACUAGCUAGCAAACGGCUGAAAUACAUAUACACUGUUAGAGUUUUAGAUACAGAAAGAAAAAAAACAAAAAAAAAGAAAAAAUCUCCAAAUACAUUCCAUUGCAGCUGGUUUUGAUCUUUCUUAGUUUUUAAAAAAUCUUGAGUACAUUGGUGUUCUUUUUCUGGGUUCAAAAGAUGAGAAGCUGAUUGGUAGUUGUUGUUUGUUGCUGUUUUAAAGAUUUGCUGAUAUUACCAUUUCUUGCUGAAGUUCUGUGGUUUUUUUUGGUUUAUAUCCAGGUACUUAUUUUGAACCUUAAAUGUGAGCAUGUUUGUAUGGAAGGUGUACUCAUACUGAAAAUAAUGGGUCUUCACGUCGAUAUGUUUUGAUUUUUGACUCUAAAAUAGAAUCACGCUAUGUUGAAUCCUGCUGCCAAUUCAUUUGAGUAUUAAGUUUGAGAUUUUGUUUAAUUCUUCAUAGUUCUAUGGAUGUGCAGAUUCAUUUGUUUCUUCUUUCAUCUUAUUGGUAGUGUUGUUUGGAUUUUUACCAUCUGUAACCAUGGACUCUUUAAUGUUUCUCUAGCUUUAGCCACUGGACCCUCUGCUAUGAUUUGUUCUUUUGCCUUUGUUCUAUUUAUUUUUUGUAAUGAUAGUCAGGUGUAUAGAUUGUUGUCCUUUUCUUAAAAAAAACAAAGAAAAUUCGCUUUUCUUAAAAACAGUUGGUGCUAAAUAUACGGAUGAGUGAGUCGUGUGAAGGAAAAGGGGGUACUUGUUGUGCUUGUGCUAAAAUCUAUGUUUUAGUAUGGAAAUUAGAUUGUAAUUACUAUAAAGAUGUCCAUGUACUACUAAUAUUCACAAUUGAUGUACUAUUCUACUAUAAACGAGUUAGGAGGGGAAAUAAAGCCUAAAAGGGCCUUAAUGUGGAAGUCCUCUUUUGUUGAAGGUUAUUGGGCUAGCCUUGGCCCAUAUCCGGUGGUCUGUUUGAAGUCCUAUUCAAAAUGUUGUUUCAUGGUUUGCUUUUGGUUUGUUUUGGGUUCAAUCACGACCCAUGCUGGAUUCAUUAGCUCCAGCUUGUUUAGUUUUAAACGUUGUAUGGUGGAAAUGCUCUGGGUGAUUUCUAAAAUUUGAUCUGGUUUGUUAAGUUUUGGGCCUACCAUCGCCCUAGAAAUUUCUUCAAGUAAAUUAGAUACUUAGUAUACUGUCUAAUGCCUUUUACGAUUAGUGAUUUCAUUACAAGCUUUUAGUUUAGAUAAAAUUAAACAUCCUUAAUUCACCUUAGUGAAUACAAUGCUCCCCUUUAUAAAUAGACUGAGGCGCGCCAUUUAAUUAAAUCUCAUAUGGCCCUCAUAAGACUAGAUCAAGAAAUCACACUUGAAGAAAGAGAUCUGAGGCGUGCCAUAAACAAAUUAACACAUCUAUGGCCCUCACAAAUGUUAUAAUUUAGAUAUUAAAAAUGAACUUUGUAGUCAUGCUUUAGGCGCGUUGAUUAUAUAAUUAUCACGGCUAUUACUAAAAAAUCCGGGUGUACAUUUCAUGUGAUCCGGUUCUAAUUGCAAUAAGGUUAAAUAGAAUGUGUCGUGAAUCACGGGUGCAUUUCAUGUAGCGUGGUUUGCCAUCGUUUUAAAUAACCUUGAGAUAAUUAAAAGCAACUAAAGGAUUAAAAAUGCAUAUAGGUUUCAAAGAUGUUUUAAAAUCAAAUAAAUAGGCCAAUAUUAGCAGUUGAGUGACCGUGCUAAAACCACAGAACCCGGGAACGCCUAACACCUUCUCUCGGGUUAACAGAAUUCCUUACCCGGAAUUCUGUGUUCGCGGACUGUAAAACAUAGUCAAUCAUUCCUCGAUUCGGGAUUUUAAACCGGUGACUUGGGACACCAUAAAUUAUUCCAAGUGGCGACUCUGAAUAAAUAAAUAAUCCCGUUUCGAUUGUCACUUAAAUUGAAAAAAACUCCCUUAUACCCUUUCUGGGGGUAGUAAAAAGGAGGUGUGACAGCUCUGGCGACUCUGCUGGGGAACGAACCCAGAAUCUUUGGUCCAGGGUUCAAGACUUCGAGCAUAGAAUAAUUGUUAUAUUUGACUUUAUUUAUUAUCUGGUUUUAUUUACAUUUUUGGGCCUAAUAUUCUAAAUGUUGCUUUUUACCGCUUUGAUAUUGUUUAACUGUAUAUAAAUUGUUGCAAAACCCUCCUCUCUCUGAGUCUUAUAAAUCAUUUGAGAAGGGUGCACUUCGUGUGACUUUUCUUCUGUUAGAGUCAUGUCCCAAUUUUAGGACGAGGUUCGGACAAGUUGCAAAGCCGGUGAAGCCCCUGGCCCGAGCUGUCCGCUCGGGUAAGCCAGGUCUAGAACAAAUAAACUCAGGUUUUCAAACAUAGUAUAACAUAGCCUCAUGUUGGAUCCCUAGUAGGAACGCUUGUUUGCAUCACGUGCACUUGUCUUUGGGGACUCAACACAGGGGUUAGGUCCGUCUAGGACAGGUGCACCCAAAACCAAAAGACCAUUCUGAUGCAUUUUACUUGCUACUUGCGCAUCUAUUUGACUUGGAUUGCAUGUGGACCAUCUUCUAGAAUAAGAGAGAAAAAUUAAGAAAAAACAAAUUGAGGUAAGCGAGAGAAAAUUACCCGCUUGUGAAAAAUUUGGUGUCCAAAAUAUCUCGAAACUCUGCCGGAAUUUUGAAGAAAAGAAAAAAAUCUAUUUCCAAAAUGUUUAUGUAUCUUUUGUUGUUGUGCCAAAAUUGACCGAACUAUGCAGGUUUGAUUCUCACCGGUUGUGGGAUACGUAGGCAACCCUCAUCGGGUCCAACUCCAUUUUUGCAAAAACAACCCAAAAAAAUACGAAGUGUCGCUAUUUUGUCAUAAAUAAAUUAGAUAAUGUCGUUCUUGUCCAAAAUAGCCAAAAUGCCCCGAAAGGGAACCUGAAGGCUGCUUUUGCAAGAAUAGCCACCUAAGGUCCUUUUUUCAAAUUUUGCUUGAUUAGCAAAUGCAGCCCCAAAAUCUCCUGAUAUGAGGGGCUGAAGGGCUAUAUUCGCAAAAGUGUUUUGUUUUAAAUUGCAAUUUUAUUUUAAAAAGAAAUUUUUUUGAGUCAAAGUAAAUCAUGGUCUUUUAAUCAAUCACUUUAAAUAAAUGUGCAGGAUGAGCACGAAAGAAAAUGAAACUUUCACAGUCCUCGAUGAAAUCCCGUUAGAACUCCAUAUGUGGUGGAAUGAUUCAGGGGAAGUCGGUAGAGAAACUGUGAUAAAAGAUUUGGGCAGUCUUGUUGGUCUUCUGAUGAUUAAGCCGAGAACGGAUAUAAUUGAGGCUUUGAUACCCUUUUGGGACCCAACGCAUAAUGUGUUCCAUUUUGCAGAUUUUGAGCUAACCCCUAUGCUUGAGGAAAUGGCAGGCUACGUUGGUUUUAGUAGGAAUCUCAGAAAUCAAUACUCGGUGCCACUUAGAAUAGUGACUCCUCAUAAGUUUCUGGAUCUUCUAAGUAUCAAUCGAGAAGUUCAAGACGAAAAUUUGGCUAAGGGAUUCUACACAUUCUACUUAUUGUACCGACGUUAUGGAAAUCCCCGCGGUUUUGAGAUGCCAAAUACCGGUCUUACUCAUUCGGGGAACAAAGACGAGUGGGAAGCUCAGCGGGGACUGGCUUUUAUAGUGGCAUUCCUGGGUGUUUUGAUUUGCCCAAGAAAGGAUGGAAACAUAGAAUUGGGGCUUGUGGGAAUAACCGACUUCAUGACUAAAAGGGCUAAUGACACCAUUGUAUCGAUGAUCCUAGCAGAGAUUUAUUGAGCUCUAACUGUUUCCCAAGAAGGAGGAAAGUUUUUUGACAGAUGUAAUAUGCUUCUACAACUCUGGAUGGAGGAACACCUUUGCCACAGUCCAGGGUACAUAAACUGUGGCAUGAACAGUCUUAAAUGCAUUAAAAAACAUGAACAAUGGGUGGAGGGCUAUGAGUUUCUGGAUAGUACGGAAUCAUGGUUCGCACAUUUGAGCUCCCUGACCACAAACAAAAUUGAGUGGACAUUCGGGUGGCUCCCGGUCAAUGAAGUCAUUUACAUGUCGGCCGAAGUUUGUUUUCUUCUAUUAAUGGGUCUCUGGAGCAUUCAUCCUUAUGCCCCACACAGAGUUAUAUGACAGCUAGGCAGGUACCAAACUAUCCCACAUGAUGAGGAUUUGAGCCAACAGGUCAUCGAACUGGUACCAAAAGCUCCUUUCCCGAAAGAAAGGGUGCGUCGGAUUUGGAAUCAAUGUAGGUUCUUAGAGAAGCUCAGGUACGGGAUGUAUCCAGAGUCAAGUUGGAGCCUCGUUACACAACUUGGUACGGUAAAAGGUCUCAAGUCCAUCAAGAGCCUGAACGGCCCGCCAAAAUGCCCCAUGUCCAACAAUUCACUAAUGGAGCACAUGAGCAAUGGGAUUGGUUGGCAAAAGAGGCAAGCUACAGAGCCACCAUAAGCAAAUUGGAGGGACAAAUCAAGAUCUUAAAUUUGAAAAAAGUGUACAGGCCGCUGCUGAUGAAGGGGAGAAGAAGAAAUUGGCCCAAAAAAAGAAGGCCCUUCGAGCACAGAUCCAAAAAAUGAAAAUGGCUGCUGAGAAUUAGGAAAGGAGCCGAAAGGAUGAAAGACUCAUAAGUUGUCUUAGGAGGAAACUAGCUCAGUGUGAGGAUGAUUUGGAAAAAUCUGAGGGUAAUUUGGCGAGAUCCCGGGCACAGUUAGCGAAGAACGCAGAGGGACGAGCAGAGUUUGUCCAGCAAUUAAAAAUGAAAUAUGAGGGAGAAGCCACCAAUUUGAAGAAAAAACUAACUACCCUUGAGAACGAGAUGGCCGAACAAACAAAGAGCUUCAAAGCAUAAAGAAAACACUGCUACGCCCUGAUGUUGUAGUUAGAAAAAGACCUGCAGUAGCUUCAAGAGCAAAAUCAUACAGCUGAGCAAGUUUUGGGGGCCAGGUCUCAGCAGAUUGGACGGUUGCUACAAGAGAAGGGUAUUAUCAGAGAAAGGGUUAGGAACAUUGCGGACUACAUUGUGAUGAAGUGCAAUGAGUAUGAAGACAUUACCAGGUCCAUGUUCUUCACUUCCAUUUUGAUUUUUGUCAGACAGAUCAUGGACGACAUAUUCCGCCUUCAAGAAGAUAUGGCAAAUAGGCCUGCGGCGAGACCGACUGAUGUCCCGCGGGCCCCUGGAGCGGUUGAGGCACUUAUGUAUUCAUGAUUUUCAUUCGAGUCUAUAUUUUCAUCUUUCCUCCAGAGUCUGUUAGUCCAUUUUCGAAUCUGUAUUUUCAUUUUUCUGUUGGAGUCUGUUAGUCUCCCUUUUCGAGUCUGUUAGUUUUUAUGAUUAAAUUCUGUAGGAGAAGUCGUUAUAAUCAAGAUAUUUUUUAUUUUAUAAAAAAAUUGAAACCCAAAAAAUGUAUCUUUCUUUUAUUUUACAUUUAUCCCCAGAACUACGCUUGGUCUGAUUCAUGCGGCGUCAUGAUACAUAGGCAAUCCCCAUUGGAUUCGAUCAUAACCAUGAAAUGAAAAGAAAAAAAAAGAGAAAAGAAGAAAAUUGUGGGAAAGAAAUAAUGGCAAAACAAGAGAGUUAAAAUGAGUGAGUAAAAGAAUAAAAAUGGGAAUCAAGUAAAGAAAAGCAGGAAAAAAAAAAGAGAAGAGAGAGAGAAAUUGCAAAAUGAAAGUUAGUGGAAGCCGGGAUGACGCAAGUAGCCGUUCAAAUGCAUAAUAGAAAUGGUUAACUGCUUAGGUACAUUACAUCUCCAACGUGUGGUUUCCUAUUUGUUAAGAUCUAAUCGCUAACAAGUUUGCUUGUUGUCAUCAAGUCCAGGUAGAUGGUUAGUUUGUUUGACAUUCUGGCAACUCACCUGUACAACACCAGGUCCAAAAACAAGUUGAUCAUGGUUGGCCAAGAACUGGAUGUAGGUGUUAUUGAUCCUUCAAGAGAGGGGGAAGAGUCUUAUGUUAAUCUGAAAGAGGAGUUGCAUAAGUUGAAACACCAAAUGGUAGAGAUGUACCAGGCAUGGAUGAAAGGGCAUCCACCACCAUCAUACCCUGCUAACCCUGCUUUCGUCCCGCCACUGGCUCAGUCCUAAGAACCUCCCACUACUGAUUCAUCUCCAAGCUUUCCCCAUUUCCCCUACUACCACGACACCACUUCCCAAACCACGCAAGCACCACUACCCAAAUCAAUCCCAUACCCCCCUCCACCAGCUACCCAUGUUUUUGUGGCACCCCCACCCGCUACAUUCCAUCGAUCCUCCAGUGAACCCUUAUCCCAGACCUAAGAUAACCAAUACUAUCCCCCGGAGCCUACCUUCAAGGCCCCAGAGCAUUACUCCUACACUCCUCAUUUCGACCUCCCAGUUGAGACUGAGAAACCACCCAAGAGCCUAGAGCAAGAGGAGAUGUUCAGGAAGGUAAGAAGCCUGGAACAAUCGUUCAGAAACAUGUAGGGAUUGGGAGGCCAGGUGAGCAUAGCCUACAAAGAUUUGUGUCUAUUUCCCGAUGUUUAGUUGCCUAUGGGAUAUAAGAUGCCUAAAUUUGAUCUAUAUGACGGGCAUGGAGACCCGGUUGCCCACUUGAGGGUUUUCUGCAACAAAAUGAGAGAAGCCGGCGGGAAAGAUGAGUUGUUGAUGGCGUACCUAAGUUAAAGUCUGAGUGGCUCGGCAUUGGAGUGGUACACUCGUCAGGAUCACAGCAGAUGGUAUACCUAGGAUGAUUUGGCCCAACAAUUCGCUCGUCAUUUCCAGUAUAACAUCGAGAUUGUUCCAGAUCAUUUAUCUUUGACUAAAAUUGAGAAGAAGCCCAGUGAAAGUUUAAGGGAAUACGAUUUUUGCUAGAGAAAACAAGCGGCAAGAGUUAACCCCCCGAUAGAGGAGAGCGAAAUGGUGGAGUACUUUUUGUAGGCUCUGGAGCCUACUUACUUUGGCCAUCUGAUAUCAGCCAUAGGAUAGUUUUCAACGAGGUAGUGAAGAUGGGUGGCAUGGUGGAAGAAGGGCUCGAAUCAAGCAAAAUCAUGAGCUACUCGGCCAUCACAACAACUACCCAAGCCAUUCAGAAUGGUAUUGGAGGAGUGAUUGGAAAGAAAAAGAAAGAAGAUGUGGCAACAGUUGAUUCAGGAUCGUGGUUUGGACCACGGGGCCCGUCACACCAUUAUACCCAGCCUCGACCUCAUUACCGAACCUACACCCAAACUCCAUACAAUCCACCCUAACAUUACUUCCAAUUACCUGAUCCUCAGAUUUCCAUCCACCACACCCAUACAUAUACUCAACCUCCUGCCUACGCAUAAUAGCGUGCCCUACACCCACAAAACAACUACCCAGCUCCACAAAAUGCAUACCUAACCCCACGAGCCUACCAAAACCCUAUCGGCAUAGGUUUCCGACCUAAUCCAGCAUUCAAAAAUGAGAGGUUGCAACAGAAGAAAACCUUUACCCCAUUGGGGGAGUCUUAUACCAGUUUGUUCCAUAGAUUGAGGUAGUUGGAUAUGCUGAAGCCAAUUGAGUCGAAAUUGUCAAACCCUUCUCCAAAGAAUCUUGAUUACUCCGUGAGUUGUGAAUACUAUUUUGGUACUCCGGGGCAUGAUACAGAGAAGUGUUGGCACUUGACAAAUGCCAUUUAGGAGCUCAUUGACACAAACCGGAUUGAAGUCCAAACUCUAGAGGCACCCAACAUCAACCAAAACCCAUUACCAACCCAUGAGGGAACAAACAUGAUCGAGAUAGUACACAAGGGGGGGGGGGGAGCCCAAGAAGCCUUCACAAUCUGUCAUGAUGAUCCGGUCCAGUAAGGUCAAGCCAGUCAAAAAACCAACGAUUGAAGGAUCAGUGAACAAGUUGAGCACGACAAACGGCAAGCCAUCUGUGGUAGUUAAGAAAUGCUCCCCAAGUGAUGCUGCAUCAAACCAAGAAAAGUCAAAAGUGGUCAUGCCAGGGUUGGCAAAUAAGCCCAUCAUAAUUGUAGAGGGUGCCCGUAUGGAUCCUAUCGUCAUCAAGCCUGUAACUUAGUUGUCAGUAAUCAGCACCAAGGCUAUCCCAUGGAACUAUGAAUGGGUGAUAGUGACCUAUAAGGGAAACGAAGUGAAAGAGGAAGUCAAUGAGGCCUAGGGAUUAACUCAUUCGGGGAGAUACUUUACCCUAGAAGAGUUAAGGAAAGCUAAAAUAUCCAGAGAUAAUCCAGUUCUAGUAAAGAAAGCAUCCACUGCAGAAGAGGCAGAGGAAUUUCUAAGAAUAAUGAAGGUACAAGAUUACUCCAUCGUGGAGUAGCUUAGAAAGACGCCCGCCCAGAUUUCCUUACUAUCAUUGCUGAUCCACUCAAAUGAGCAUCGCCGGGCCCUGAUGAAAAUUCUAAACGAAGCUCAUGUCCCCGACAAAAUUUCAGUGAACCAUCUAGAGAAGAUCGCCAUAGGACCAGUGGAAUUCACCAUGGAGUUUCAGGUACUGGACGUAGUCGUCUCCUACAAUUUACUGUUAGGUCAGCCUUGGAUACAUGCCGCCAAAGUAGUUACGUCCACUUUGCACCAGAUGGUCAAGUUCGAGUGGGAUAGGCAGGAGAUCGUCGUGCAUGGUGCGGAGAAUUUGUGUGCUCACAGUGAUGCCUCUGUCCAAUUCAUUGAGUCUGAAGAUGACAAAGGGCCUUAGCCUAUCAAGUUUUUGAAACAGUGCCGGUCGAGAAGGUUCCAGAAGGGAAAUGUCCAAAGAUAACCUCUGCGUCAGUCAUAGUGGCCUCUGAAAUACUGAAAAAUGGCUUUGGGCCAGGUAAAGGUUUGGGUGCAUCCCAGCAAGGUAACAUACAGCCAAUGUCCCUCCCUAAAAAUUUGGGUACGUUUGGUCUUGGAUUCAAACCUACAACGACAUAUGUGAAAAGGGCUAAAAGGUUGAAACAGAAGGCAUGUGCACUUCCAAAGCCUAUUCUGCGUCUCUCCAGGUCUUUUGUCAAGCCUGGUGCCAGGAAACGCCCAGUGACAACAACUCCAAUGACAUUGAUAAAGAGAUAAUUGAAAGGUUCCAGAGGUUGUUUGAUGAUGUGAACAUGAUAGAAGUUGGAGAAGGUUCUAGCAAAGUGGACAUGUAGUUCGUCGGGCCGAAUUUAAAGCUUAACAAUUGGAAGGCUACACCUCUCCCUACUCGGAAGGAGUCUUGGUAGUUCAUUUUUAUUUCCUUUUUAUUUGGGUCAUUCCAGGGUUGUGAUCCAGAUUUUUAUUUUUUGAUUGUUGAUGUACAAACCCUAUUAUCCUUUAUUUUCAAUGAAAUGCAAUUUCCCUUUUUCCAUCAUUCCUGAUAGUUUCAUUUUUAUUUUCUUUUUUUCUCUGUACAAUUUUUUUAUGCUGGUUUCAAUGACAUGACAUGCAUGAGAAAUGUUCGGCCCAGUCUUAAAAGUCAAUAUAAUUCUAAAAUAAUAAUCCAAGAAAUAGAGUGUGAUGAUGAAUAAGAAUAUGAUGAGGAUGAGGCCUUUGAAGAGAUUAGUAAGGAACUAAGUCAUUUUGAAGAAAAACCCAAGCCUAAUCUGAAUGAAACGGAAACAAUCAAUCUAGGGGAUCCAGAUAAUGUCAGAGAAACUAAGAUAAGUGUCCAUCUUGAACCACAAAUCAGGGAAGAAAUAAUUAAUGCAUUGUUCGAGUAUAAGGAUAUUUUUUGCAUAGUCGUAUGAUGACAUGCCAGGCUUGAGUACCGAUUUGGUGGUCCACAAAUUGCCGAUUGAUCCAGCAUUCCCUCCCAUUAAGCAAAAAUUGAGAAAGUUCAAAACUGACAUGAGUGAGAAGAUUAAAGAAGAAGUCAUAAAGAAGCGUGCUGCAAAAGUCAUUCGAGUCAUGCGGUAUCCCACGUGGUUAGCCAACGUUGUGCCUAUGCCAAAGAAAGAUAGUAAGACCAGAGUGUGUGUUGAUUACCGUAAUCUCAACAAGGCAAGUCCGAAGGACAACUUCCCACUGCCAAAUAUCCAUAUUUUGAUUGAUAAUUGUGUCAAGCAUGAGAUUGGGUCUUUUGUGGAUUGCUAUAUGGGGUAUUGUUAGAUUUUAAUGGAUGAGGAAGAUACGGAAAAGACGACAUUCAUCACGCUGUGGGCAACAUAUUGCUACCAGGUCAUGCCUUUUGGGUUAAACAAUGCUGGGGAAACUUACAUGAGGGCAAUGACUACCAUAUUCAAUGACAUGAUACACAAGGAGAUUGAGGUUUACGUGGAUGAUGUGAUCAUAAAGUCCAGGAAGCAGUCUGACCACGUCAAAGAUUUGAGAAAGUUUUUCUAGAGGCUCUGCAGGUACAAUCUCAAGCUUAAUCCUGCAAAGUGCACAUUUGGUGUUCCAUCGGGGAAACUGUUGGGGUUCAUAGUCAGUCAGUGGGGCAUUGAGUUAGAUCCAUCAAAGAUUAAAGCUAUCCAGGAAUCGCCACUGCCAAAGAAUAAGACCGAGGUGAUGAGUCUGCUAGGGAGGCUGAACUACAUCAGCAGGUUUAUUGCUCAGCUCACAACAACUUGUGAGCCCAUCUUUAAGUUGCUAAAGAAAGAUGUUGCGGUCAAAUGGACUGACGGGUGCCACGAAGCAUUCGAUAAGAUCAAAGAGUAUUUGUCGAACCCCCCUAUGUUGGUCCCGCCAGAAUCUGGGAGACCUUUGAUUCUUUAUUUGACGGUCCUGGAUAAUUCAUUGGGUUGUGUAUUGGGUAAGCAUGACAUCACUGGUUGGAAAGAGCAAGCCAUAUAUUAUCUCAGCAAGAAGUUCACAUCUUACGAGGUUUAGUAUACUCCCCUUGAAAGGACAUGUUGCGCCCUAACUUGGGUAGCAUAGAAAUUGAAGCAUUAUUUGUCAUCCUACACUACUUACCUCUUUUCUCGCCUGGAUUCUUUAAUGUAUAUCUUUCAGAAGUCCAUGCCCACAGGAAGGCUCGCAAAGUGGCAGAUCUUGCUAACAGAGUUUGACAUAGUAUAUGUGACUCGGACGGCGAUGAAAGCCCAAGCUUUGGCCGAUCACUUGGCCAAGAACCUGAUGGAUGAAGAAUAUGAACCUUUGAAGACUUAUUUUCCUGACGAAGAGGUGAUGUAUAUUGACGAGGUCGAGAAGGACUGAAAGCCUGAUAGGAAACUCUUCUUUGAUUGGGCCGCUAACACGAAAAGCAUUGGAAUAGGAGCUGUACUUAUUUCUGAAACAAGGCAGCAUUACCUUGUCACUACUCAGCUCUGUUUCUAUUGUACCAAUAACAUGGCCGAAUACGAAGCGUGCAUUUUGGGUUUAAGGUUAGCUGUGGACAUGGGAGUCAAGGAAGUGCUGGUUUUGGGAGAUUCAGAUCUGUUAGUGCAUCAGAUCCAGGGAGAAUGGGAGACUCGAGAUUUGAAACUCAUACGUAUCGAUAAUGUAUGCAGAAUCUUUGUCAGUGGUUCAGAUAAGUGGAGUUCAGGCAUAUCCCUAGGAUCCAUAAUGAGGUUGCUGACGCUUUGGCUACUCUAGCGUCGAUGUUACAUCAUUCAGAUAAAUCUUAUGUUGACCCUCUGCAUAUUCAGGUCCGCGAUCAGCAUGAUUACUGCAACAUGGUAGAGGAAGAACUUGACGGUGAAUCAUGGUUACACGAUAUCAGGAGUACAUCAGGUCGAGGGUAUAUCCGGUACAAGCCACAGGGGACUAAAAAAGAACAAUUCGACAGCUGGCAAGUGGAUUUUUCUUCAGUGGGGGAGUCUUGUACAAAAGAACUCCAGAUCUUGGAUUGUUGAGAUAGAUCGACGCAAAGCAAGCCGCGACUAUCAUAAUCGAAGUACAUUUCGGAGUUUGUAGGCCGCAUAUGAGUGGGUAUGUUCUGGAAAAGAAAAUUCUUCGAGUAGGUUAUUAUUGGCUCUCCAUGGAACGAGAUUGCAUUAGCUUUGUGCGUAAGUGUCAUCAAUUCCAGGCCAUUUGAGUUGCACAUAAUGUCCGCACCAUGGCCCUUCGUUUCUUGGGGUAUGGAUGUCAUCGGACCAAUUGAGCCAGCAACAUCCAAAGGACACAGGUUCAUUCUGGUGGCUAUUGACUAUUUCACUAUGUGGGUUGAAGUUAAAACAUUUAAAUCUGUGACCAAGAAGGCAGUGGUCGAUUUUGUUCAUUCAAAUAUCAUUUGUCGGUUCGGAAUCCCAAAGGUGAUCAUCACAGAUAAUGGUGCUAAUCUUAACAGCCAUCUAAUGAAAAAGGUAUGCUAGCAGUUUAAGAUUACGCAUCGAAAUUCCACCCCAUACCACCCCAAUGUGAAUGGAGCAGUUGAGGCAGCCUACAAGAACAUAAAGAAGAUACUUCAGAAAAUGGUGCAAGGUUCCAGGUAAUGGUACGAAAAGUUGCCCUUUGCGUUGUUGGGUUAUCGCACUACUGUUCACACUUCAGUAGGUGCAACUCCUUAUUUGUUAGUAUAUGGUACUGAAGCAGUGAUACCCGCAAAAAUUGAUAUUCCAUCCCUUCAGAUCGUUGCUGAAGCCGAAAUUGAUGAUGAUGAGUAGGUCAAAACCCAUCUGGAGAAAUUGAGCUUGAUUGAUGAGAAAAGAUUGGUAGCAGUGUGUCAUGUCCAGUUAUUUCAAAAGAGAAUGGCAAGAGUAUACAACAAGAAGGUGCGUCCCUGGAAAUUUGAAGUGGGUCAGCAAUUAUUGAAACACAUCCUUCCACAUCAGGUUGAAGCAAAAGGCAAGUUCGUCCCAAAUUCGCAAAGGCCGUUCAUCGUAACGAGAGUGUUGUCCAAUGGUGCUUUGUAUUAAACAGAUAUAGAAGGCAAAUAUAUAGAUAUAGCUAUCAAUUCUGUUGCAGUUAGAAGAUAUUAUGUAUGAUUUCUUUGAUUCAAAUUGUGUUUGUUUGUACUUGGCAUGUUUUGAAGAUUGGAAUGACAAAGCCAUUUUGUUCUGCUAUCUAAAUUCUUUAUCCUUUGUUACCCCUUUGAGCCUUAUUUAUUUCCUUUCAUACCGCUCUUUUGGAAUCAGUAGCGAAAUUCAGAAAUGCGAAUACAAAAGGUGACCAAAGAAGUAAAGAAGAGAAAAGAAGAGAAAAGAGAAAGAAAAGAAUGGGAAAGAGUGAAAAAAUGGGAAAAAGAAAAGAAAGAAAAAAAAGAAGAAGAGAAAAGAAAAAGAGAAAAAAAAAGAGAAAGAAAAGAAAAGAGAGAAGUAACAACAACAAAGCAAUUCCUAUGACAUGAACUACGUUUGACCUGAAUCCUUUAAGGAUAUGUAGGCAGCCUCACAGUUUGGUCCCAUCAAAAUAGAAAAUUCACAAGUUCCCAAGCAAAGAAACUAGGGCAGAAAGUUGUGGUUGUUGCAAGAAAUCUAAUUCCAAAAGUUGUAAUUUUAAACUCAUUCAAGUUGUUUUGAGCCUUUCGAUGUCCUUUCUUUCUAACCCUAUCCCAAAGCCCACAUUAUGGUCCAAAGAAAGACUUUCCGAUUAGUUUUCAAGAGAUGCCAAGUCGAGCAAACAGAGGUGCGAUUCAUAUCAGGGGCAACACUCUGGUCUAAGCAGGAAAAAUGAAAAAUGAGAGUCUCAUUGGUGAAAACCCUCACGGGCAUUGUAAGGCGAUUGAAAGAUGAGAGAAAUUAAAAUGAGAGAGUCUUAUUGGUGAAUAUCCUCACGGGCACCGUAAGAUGACAGUGAGUUGAGAGAUGAACAAAUGAGAGAGUUUGUUGGUGAAAACCCUUCAGGGCACCUCAGGCCGAACAAGGUCAGUGAUUUGGCAAAGAACUUGGAUUAGGGAGAUCCUGGGGCACAAAGUAUGACAACUGAAAGGCGAUUGGUUGAACGGGCCGGGCUGAUUAAUCUGAAAUGCAUGUCAUAAUUAUUGGCGCCAGCUGCCUCACUCAGAUAAGUUCCUUUUCAUUUUCUCCCUCAAACAGUCAUCUUGUUUCAGUUUCUCUUCUUUAUUUAUUUACUCACGAAGUCAUUGCAUUUCAUUUCUUUUGGGUUUAUCUUUCUAAGGCUUUUACAAUCCCAGCCUUGUUUAAGCAAAUAAGAAAGGAUUUCAAAGCUUACUACCAACUUCCAAUAUUGCACAAAGCAAAGCGCGGCCAAAGCAUACCAGAACAAGUGAAAAAUAAGGUGUUAAUGAAAGUUCAAGGGGUCGAGUGGUUUGUGAAUUUUGUGGAUGACACGGAGGUUCAAAUUAGAAGGACAGAAAUGUAAAACAACAGGUUGGAUGCAGAGCAUUCGUGUGAUUCAGAGUCCUAUGGUUAAAAUUCAAUCAGAAAGGCAAACAAUUCUUGGCCAAUUCAAGGCAGCCAGUCAAAGCAAAGCACAGCAGCGAAAGGGCCACCUCUAGCAAGAAUGCUGCAAGCUAACCACCCCAUUUUUUAAAAUGAUAAAAUUUUCUUUGAUUAAAACAGGGGCAAGAAAUUUAGUUUAUUUAGAGGAAUCCUCCGUGGGGAAAGCAUUUACCGGACAGGUUCGACCGUAAAUUCUCAGAACCCGCCAGGAUAAUGGAAUUUAAUUUGGAGUUAUCAGGACCCUCCUAGACAAUGGGACCUAGUUAAAAUUCAAAACAUUCAUGAGUAACAAGAUCUAUCAUAAGCUCUACCUUGAGGAAAUAUAAGUCGGCUUUGAAGUUUUCAUUCUUAGGAUAAGAUUCAAUUUGAAAUUUUCAGGACCCUCCUGAAUAAUGGGACUUAGUUUUAAGACAUCUAUUAGAUGAUGAGAUUUAGCAUAAGUCCUACCUUUUGGAAAUAUAAUUUAGCUUUAAAGUUGUCACUCUUAAAGAUAAUAUUUGAUUUCAAUGUUCAGGACCCUCCUGGAUAACGGGAUUUAGCUUUUAAAUUCUUAGAGCUUUUGGGUACCAUGAUUCGAUUAACACUCACAGAUGUUCCCGAUAUCAAACUGGGCAGAAAAAUUUCUUUUGUUUUGUCUGUUUUGUUGUAAUCAGGUUCAAAGGAAAAGCAGUUUCAAGAAGAGGACAAUUCAGGUUCAGCAAUCAGGCGCUCACCUGGAGAACAAGGGAAGACGACACAAGCUUAAAGGAAAGCGGUUCAAGCUUGGCAAUCAGGCGCCCACCUACAGAACAAGGGAGAAUAGCUCAAGUUUCAAAGGAAAACAGUGCGAGUUCAGCAAUCAUGUGCCCACCUGGAUAGCAACGGAAAAUGGUUCAAGCUUCUAGGGAAAACAGUUCCAAGUAGCAAGAGAAGAUGGCUCGAGUGUCUGCAAUCAGGCGCCAACCUGGCAAACAAGGGAAACAAUUCAAAUUUUAGAGAAAAGGAAUACAAUUCAAAUGUUGGUAAUGAGGCGCCCACCUGGAGAACAAAGGGAAAGCAACAAUGUUCAAAGGAAGGCGGUUCAAGUUCAGCAAUCAGGAGCCCACCUGGAGAACAAGGGAAAAUAAGUCAAGUUUCGAGGAAAAAGCAGUGCAAGUGUUGGAAAUCAGGUACCCACCUGGAGAAAAAGGAAAAACAGUUCAAGUCUCAAGGAAAAAACAGUUAAGGUCUUGGUAAUCAGGCGCCCACAUGGAGAGAAAGGGAAUAAAGUUAGAGUUUUAGCAAUCAGGCGUCCACCUGGAAAGCAGGGGAAUACAGUUAAAGUUUUGGCAAUCAUGCACUCACCUGGAGAGCAAGGGAAUACAGUUAAAGUUUUGGCAAUCAGGUGCCCACUUAGAGAGCAAGGGAAUACAGUUAAAAGCUUUGGCAAUCAGGCGCCCACCUGGAGAGCAAGGGAAUACAUUUAAAAGUUUUGGCAAUCAGGCGCUCACCUAGAGAGCAGGGGAAUACAGUUAAAGUUUUGGCAAUCAGGCGCCCACCUGUAGAGCAAGGGAAUACAGUUAAAAAGUUUUGGCAAUCAGGCGCCCACCUAGAGAGCAAGGGAAUACAGUUAAAGUUUUGGCAAUCAGGCGCCCACCUGGAGAACAAGGAAAGCAGCUCAAAUUUCAAAGGAAGACAACACAGGUUUCAAGGGAAGGUGGUCCAAGUACCGAAGGAAGACAGUUCGAGUAUUGGCAAUCAGGUGCUCGCCUGGAGAAUAAGGGAAUUCACUUUAGAAUGCAAUUCAAGGCAGCAACAAAGGAAUCUCACCUGGAGAGUACAAGUCAACAGAGCCGUAGAAACUGGAAGAUCAUGUUUGAAAAAGUGUAGAUAGGAUUCUUGCAAUUCAUAGAUCAUAGUUUAGUGUAGUUUCUUUUAUUUUGUCUUGGUGUAAUAAGGAGUUCAGCAAGCAGUAACAGUGAAAUCGCAGCUUCCUGGUAGUCCCAGCUAUCGAAACUUCCUGAACUAUACUAACCUGAUUCCUUUAUAGCCAAGGAUAUGUAGGCAACCUCGGAAGCAAGGUGCGGUCAGAUAUUUCAAAAAUGCUUCCCACGGAGUAUUCAAACGGGCAAAAAUCGCUCGCAUUCGCCCACUUUAUCUUUGCACGAAAACUCUUCGUGUUUCCGAACAAAGAGGGGUAGCUGUGAGCACGUGAUUUUUGCCCUAUAGGAAUUACUCCCAUAAAAUAUAAGAGAAACAAUUUUUCCCAUUAUUUACAAUUUUAUAGAUUUUUCGUAGAGUUUUGUUAAUUGCUUGCAUUUUUGUGCACAUUUAAUUUCCAUUAAAAAUCAUGAAAAAUACCAAAAAUACCAAGCAUUGUAUUUAGGUUUGUUUUAUAUUUUUGGAAGUAAUUAGUAAUUAUUUCUUUUAUUAAAAAAUGAAAAUCACAAAAAGGUCCAUUUUACAUUUUUACCUUUUAAAUUGUUGAUUUUUCUCUGUUAACUUAGGAUUGAAUGAUUUUUAUAAUUUUUAUAAUUUGAUAUUUAGUUUAAUUUUACAUUAGAUUAAUUUAGGUUUAAUUUGGGAUCUGUAUUAAUUAGGAAAACGAAAUAAAAAGAAAAGAAAAGGAAAGGAAGGACUUAAUAAGAGGGUUUAAUGUGAAAUGUUGAAUUUGGGCCAUUUACACCCGGAUUUUCUCCAGAAUAAUCAAGCCCAAACGUGCAGUCUACCCGAUCCGUCUCACUUUCACGAUUUGGUUCUUCAGCCCCUAGGACACUUGAAACGACAUAGUAUGGGGGCAAUACUACGUCGUUUUAAGUUCAAUUGUUUUAAGUUAAUCUUGACCCCUCAAUGUUCUCUCAUCCAAUGGCCUUGAAAGCUUUUCCCAUUUUGUUUAAAAUUGUCCAAACGCCCUAACAAAUAACCUAGGACCCCUGUUUUAUCUUCUCUUUCACCCUCAUCUCUCACCACCGUCCGCCGCCCAUCGGAAAUCGCCAGUAGUGGCGGUUGAUCUCCAAACCCCCUCAAAUCUUGACUAUAUAACUGUCAUUGCCCCUCCAUUCCAAAUCCACCCUUGUUUCCUCCCCCAAACCACUGGUCUUCUCCGAAUUAGAGAUCUAAGAGAUCAAUAAAAUCCUCUUCACCCUUUUUCUUUUGAUAUCUGCCCAAUCUAGCCUCUUCUUGGUGUUGAACAUAUGUGAAUCGACCAGCUUCGAGUGAAAAGCCAAUUGGCUGAGGGUUCGUUUGGUGCAUGGUGGUUGAGUUUGGUUAACAAUCUCCAAUGGGCAAUUAUUUCUGUUUCUUCUUCGUUCUUGACUCGUGAUGGGGACUGAGACGAAGAGCACAAGCCAUUGAAUAAACUUCGGCUAGUGCUCAAUGUUACAGUUCACACCAUGGGGUUGAGGUUCUUCACGCCGGAUUCCCUUACCUUUGAGCCAUCGAUCUAGCCAGUAUACUUCUAUUCCUCUUCAUCUCAGUUGGAUUUAGAAAACAUAGGUUUUUCAGUCGAUUUAUUCGGUAAUAAUAGGUCAAGAAGCACAGUUAAUCUCUUUGUUAGCAUUUGUUAAUUUUCUUCUUUCCUUUUACUUCUUCUCUUUUAUUCUGCUUCGUUAGAAGAUCUGAUUCAGAAUAGGGUUAGUUUGGACUUUCUUGUGAAUUCAUCUGCUUAGACUUGAACCUGGGCUUGCUAGCGCAAGAAGCCCAAAGAGCUUGUUGAAUUUCGUUGGUGCAGAAGCCAAAGAAAUGUUGGGGUUUGUCAAUUCAGAAGCCCAAAGGCAUUUUGGUCAUUUUCGUUCAAAUGACUCGCAGGGCUAAGGUAAUUGGAAAGCUUAGAGAGGGUAGUUAGGGGAUUUGGUUAUAAAGAAUCUUUGAUAACUAUCUGAAAUGAAAAGAUGAAAAUUGAAGAGGGGAGGGUAGUGAAUGAAUAAAAUUAAGUUUUUUUGCCUAAACUCUAACUAUAAAAGGGCUCACUCCCUUCAUUUUCUGGAAGAGAUCAGAAUACCAAAAGCUAGCAAACGGCUGAAAUACACAUACAAUGCUAGAGUUUUAGAUUUAGGAAGAAAAAAACAAAACAAAAAAAGAAAAAUCCUUCAAAUACUAUUCCAUUGCAGCUAGUUUUGAUCUUUCUUGGUUUUUAAAAAAGCUUGAGUACACUACUAUUCUUUUUCUGGGUUCAAAACAUGAGAAGCUGAUUGAUAGUUGUUGUUUUAAAGAUUUGCUGAUAUUACCAUUGCUUGCUGAUGUUCUGUGGUUUUUUUUUGGUUUAUAUCCAGGUACUUCUUUUGAACCCUGAAUGGAAACUAGAAUGUGAGCGUGUUUGUAUGGAAGGUGUACUCAUGCUGAAAAUAAUGGGUAUUCACGUUGAUAUGUUUUGAUUUUUUACUCUGAAAUAGAAUCACGCUAUGUUGAAUUAUGCUGCCAUUUCAUUUGAGUAUUAAGUUUAAGAUUUUGUUUAAUUCUUCAUAGUUCUAUGGAUGUACAGAUUCAUUUGUUUCUUCUUUCAUCUCAUUGGUAGUGUUGUUUGGAUUUUCACCAUCUGUAACCGUAGGCUCUUUAAUGUUUCUCUAGCUUUAGCCACUGGACCCUCUGCUAUGAUUUGUUCUUUUGUCUUUGUUCUAUUUUUUUUGUAAUGAUAGUCAGGUGUAUAGAUUGUUGUCCUUUUUAAAAAAAAAAGAAAAACAAAGAAAAUUCGCUUUCUUAAAAAACAGUUGGUUCUAAAUAUACGGAUGAGUGAGUCGUGUGAAGGAAAAGGGGUACUUGUUGUGCUUGUGCUAAAAUCUGUGUUCUAGUAUGGGAAUUAGAUUGUAAUUACUAUAAAGAUGUCCAUGUACUCCUAAUAUUCGAAAUUGUUGAACUAUUCGGCUAUAAACGAGUUAGGAGAGGAAAUUAAGCCUAAAAGGGCCUUAUUGUGGAAGUCUUCUUUUGUUGAAGGUUAUUGGGACACCCUUGGCCUAUAUCCGGUGGUCCGUUUGAAGUCCUAUUCAACAUGUUUUUUCAUGGUUUGCUUUUGGUUUUGUUUUGGGUUCAAUCACAACCCAUGCUGGAUUCAUUAGCUCUAGCUUGUUUAGUUUUAAACACUGUAUGGUGGAAAUGCUCUAGGUGAUUACUAAAAUUCGAUCCGGUUUGUUAAGUUUGGGCCUACCAUCGGCCUAGAAAUUUCCUCAAGUAAAUUUGAUAAUUAGUAUACUGUCUAAUGCCUUUUAUGAUUAGUGAUUUCAUUUCAAGCUUUUAGUUUAGAUAAAAUUAAACAUCCUUAAUUCACCUUAGUCAAUACAAUGCUCCCCUUUAUAAAUAAACUGAGGCGCACCAUUUAACUAAAUCUCCUAUGGCCCUCAUAAGACUAGAUCAAGAAAUCACACUUGAACAAAGAGAUCUGAGGCGUGCCACAAGUAAAUUAACACAUCUAUAGGCCUCACAAAUGUUGUAAUUUAGAUAUUAAAAAUGAACUUUGAAGUCAUGCUUUAGGCACGUUGAUUAUAUAAUUAUCAUGACUAUUACUAAAAUCCGGGUGUACAUUUUAUGUGAUCCGGUUCUAAUUGCAACAAGGUUAAAUAUAAUGUGUCGUGAAUCGCAGGUGCAUUUCAUGUAGCAUGGUUUGCGAUGCGUUUUAAAUAACCUUGAGAUAAUUAAAAAUGCACAUAGGCUAAAGGAUUAAAAAUGCACAUAGGUUUCAAAGAUGUUUUAAAAUCAAAUAAAUAGGCCAAUAUUAGCAGUUGAGCGACCGUACUAAAACCACAGAACCCGGGAAUGCCUACUCCUUCUCCCGGGUUAACGGAAUUCUUUACCAAGAUUUCUGUGUUCGCGGACUGUAAAAUAGAGUCAAUCUUUCCUCGAUUCAGAAUAUUAAACCGGUGACUUGGGACACCAUAAAUUAUUCCAAGUGGCAACUCUGAAUAAAUAAAUAAUCCAUUUUCGAUUGUCACUUAAAUUGAAAAAAAACUCCCUUAUACCCUUUCCGGGGGUGGUAAAAAGGAGGUGUGACACCGUCGAGACCACUAAGUCACAUGGCCUCGAAGUCAAUCACUGAGAACCCUCGGAGUUGACCACUGAUAACCCUCGGGAUGUCCUGAUGAUUGUAAAAUCGAACUGCUGAUUUCUACCGUAUACAUUUACUCUUUAUGGCCAAUAAUAAGCAAUAAAUGAAGAACAAUAAGUAGAACACAAUAAAUGUAAUAGUGGAGUUAAGAAAAUAUGUUAGAAAGCAGAGAGAAUGUUCUUGUAUUUUCAAUAUUGUGUAUUAGAUCCCCCUACAAAAUGACAAGGAUUCCUUUUUUAUAUGAGAGGGAAUCCAAACAUAGUACAAAUGCAUUUAUUACAAAGAUGUGGGGCUGGUACAGCCAUUUAAUGCCUUGAUUCAGGUCUAAACUAGCUCACUAGACUUUGUCAGCUUUAGUUAUGUGCCUUGGGAACUUUCCACUUUUUCACCAUAACCAUAGAUCUGUACUUCCCCGAGGUCGGAAAUCGAUGGCCACUCGGGUGUGAAUCUCGACCAUAGCCUCGAGCCUUUGAAACUGUGCUUACGAGGCAUCAUAAUGAUCGAAAAUUAGACCCUCUGAUUUUACUGUAUACAGAUAGUCCCUGCGUUUCCUAGAUCAAAAUGAUAGGAAAUGAUUUUGAACCCCUUACUUCUUAGGCACUACCAUCAUGACGUCAGACUAUUAGAGCAUUAAAUGCCAUUACUCAAAAGCUGUGUGAGGGUCACCGUCAACAUGUCUAUCGAGAAGCCCACGAACCGCUAUUGGUUCGUCCUUUCCACUGAUCAUAUGGCUUCUAUAGAUACCUCAAUCGUUUAGUGAUGCACACUUUUACAACAUCUUCAAAGUUCCAGAGCUAACGACAUCCCUUCUCAUGCUCUUCUUCCUUCCGUUCUUGGUUCCUCUCUUCCUUUCUUAGAAAUACCUUUCCAUCAUUAUGGCUAGAACUUCUAAAACUAUACCUUGAAAAGAGGGUGCUGCCUAUUCAUCUCAAACAUCUAAGGACAAGCCCAAUGUAUCCCCUACCGUCGAAUAGUGUACCCCUACCUAGUUAGAUACUAUGAACGACUUCUCUAUCGAGAGACCCUCAUCUACGUCGGGCCGAUGCGAACACGUGUCUCGGUAUAUUAGCAUUGUGACCAAUAUAGAAAAAGUGAAGGAAGACUGUCAAUGGGAGGAGAGAGUGCUGGUUGAGAUCCCCCGUUCUAAUGAGAGCAUAACGGACCACGGCUGGCUUCCAUUGUGUAUAUAUAUACUAAUUCACUUUGGGUCCCAUCGAUUCUUCAAACCCUUCUUCCCUAGUGAAAGAUCCGGUUAAUCUCGACUUCUGUGACAAGUAUCAAGUGACGCUUGGCCAAAUCUAUCCAUCUUUCUGGAGGAUAGUCUACAUGCUCCGUUAUUUAUCUACCCUUGACCAUAUUAUUAGAUUGUACAACCCUCGACUUUAUCGAGGUUUGAUUAAGCUUAACCCUCGAUCCACGAAGCCAUAUUUAUCAAGCAUUGAUGAGAACAAGGACCGAGCGUGGAUGAGCAGGUUCAUCCGAGUGAGGACCUCGAACAUCAUCCUAGCCAAAAGGAUGUCAUUCCCGGAGGAGUGGAAUUUGGAGCGUAAGUAUCUCUCCCUUGAACAAGCUUUAUUGUCUUCUUACCUUCUUUUAAAAAAAUGAUCUUCCCUUCGUUUAUGCAGCUACCGUUUGUAUCCUGAAGCGAUCCAUGACCUGUCGGGGUAGAUUAAGCAAUUGAAUACUUCGUUCCCUUAUUUCGGGCGCUCUUUGCCCGACUUGGCUAAAACGUGGUGGUCGCCCAAGAAUCACGGUAAGCAUUUUCGUGGUCACCUAUACCAUGUUCCAAUUCCUUUUUUGCAUUGGGAAGUUUUGAAUAUUAUGCUUGCGCAUGCCUUGGCGAUGGAGUGCGGAUGAGACUGCCUCCCGAUGGCGAGGAAGAGGCUUCGACGCUUGAUAAAGGCAAGAAGAGAAAGAAAAAGGCUGCUGCUGAGUCUUAUGUGGCAAAGAAAUCUAAAUCACAUAGGCCUCAAGCUGCUUCCAGGACCUCAACUUCAGCUUCCAGAGCAAGUCCCAGUAAUGGGGAUGAAGACGACGAUGAUGGUGAGUAUAGUUUGGUACAAAGGACGAGGUCGGGCACAGAUGUCCCGCAGGUGGCUGGGCCAAAGGCCACUGAAUUGGGAACAGUCAAUUUAGGUUUAUCCAGUAUUGUGGAGACCCUCGAGGAGGGUGCACACACGGUCCUUGAGUCCCUGAUCGGACGUGGUACAGUCUUUGACGAGGAGACCAUUGCUUCUGACUCCAAAGGGGCCAGGCCCGGAGCUUUUUGGGGACAAAAUUUUCCCCUUGGAGAUAUUAAUGCCCUCGAGGCCUUAAUUUGGGUCCUUAAUUCUCGCCCGGGGAAUUCAGGGAUGCAUAGGACCCAAAGGUUACCAACGUGGGGGGCCCUCUCGAGGGGGAGAUAAGCUUGACAACUUCCUCGAUAGCAUUGGUGAAGACAUUUAUCUCGACACUCCCAAUGCUAUCGAGGAGGAAGAGAGGCUCCAUCAGCAGGUGAUAACAUUUCUAUGCAUACCUUUAGAGCUUUAAGUAUUUCUCCCUAUUUUUCUGACUCUUUUGUUUUGUUGUAAGCCAAGAAAAUGUACGACCACGCUAUCUCUAAGUUGCGCGAUGAGCAUAGGAAGGAGGUCGAGGGUCUCACCUUGGGAUUAAAGGAGUUAAAGACCUUUUGUGGCCGAAAGGAGGAGGAGCUAAGUGGGCUCUGGGCGAGGUUGGAAGGAGUGUGCCGAGAAAAAGAUAACCUUGUCGAGCAGGUAAUAUUGUGUUUGUGAACCUACCCUCUGUCCUUGUAACUUGGCGAUUUACCAACUUUCUUUCCCUUGCAGGUCAGGAAAGAGAAUGCCCUCAUGGAGCAGCUUCGAGAGGAGGUAGUCGCCAAGGAUGCGGAGGCCUUCGAUUUAAGGGGGCAACAUAGGGUUGUGGCCUCGAAAAGGGACCAUCUGCGAACAGAGCUAUCAUCGACCCGGGAGCUUCUAUAGAGUGCCAAGGAGGAGGUCGCUGCACUAUCGUCGGCUAAGUCUGUGGCAGAAGAAAAGGCGUCCUCGUAUAAGGAAGAUGCUACCACUACAAAUGAGAAAGCUCGAGAGAUUUUAGUGAAGGCCAAGUAGAAGUUGACUCAGGCAGUUGUUUAUGCACGUGCGCAAGUGAGGAGGCGGGAUUUUGAGGAAGAGAGCGAUAAAGGCGCCGAUCUUUCAGUCGAGAUCAAGAAAGCCCGAACAUUGGAGGAAAAAUCUACCAUUCGAGCACUUCAGAUGAGGGCUCCGAUGAUGACUCCGAGGAAAUAGGGGUGAAGAGUUGAUUUAGGUCAUCUCUUUUUCCUAUUUUGUGCAAGAGUUUCUUAGGGGAAGGGCUUUGUUAAUACUCCCCUAUUGUAAAUGUGUUUUUGGAAGUAUGACAAUUUUUCCGCUUCGAGCAUGUCGCAUUCUAUGUUUCAACGUUUUGCCUUUGAAUUCUGAUAUUGGCUCUUCGGGGCAUAUGCUUGGAGCAGUCGAGGACUUUGAGAUUGGGAACCAUCUCAAAAUUGGGCUGAUAGUUUCCAUAGGGUCGAUGCCUGCAAUGGCAAAAUUUAUCGGGGUCUGAUGACCUCCGAGUGCUUGCAUACAGUGUUAUUUACGUGGCAUGAUUGUGAAGCGACUGAGGUGGUACCACUGGCGCGCUUCCCAAAAAGAGAUACUGACAUGGCUAGAUUCCUUUAGUCACUAUAGUAGGUGAAUAGUCACUACUUGCCCUAUAUAUGUGCUUGUUUUCCUCUUAUUUGAAGAUACUGCUGUAUUGAGAGACUAUCUCCUUUAUAAGGUUCCCCUUUCCUAUGCCAAUUACCUUUUACCCCAAAGAUUUCGCCAAAGUCAUCUCAUUUACCCUUUCUUUAUUUUACCAUAGCCAUGGAUAUUGUGCCCGCAUCCGCUUGCCAAGAAGAGGAAGGUCCUUCCCUAGUUGCGUACUCGGUUGGUGGUACACUGCCGGUGUCGAGUGAGCUAGCAUCGAGGUGUUUUUUCUUGACGAGGGACUUUUCAUUGGAGAAACCUCUAAAUGUUCUGGGCCACCAGGAACAUGCGUCGAGAUUUAUCUCCUCAAUAGGGGAGGAGCAUCUCGAGGCAGUCAAAAAAGACUACGGAUGGAGAAGAGAUAUGGAAUUGCAGGUACCUUCCCCGAAGGAGAGAAUUAUGGCCUAUGCCGAGGGGUUUUUGAACGUGUAUACGUACCCAUUUACGUUUGGCCCCCUUGAUAGGGUCAUGCUCGAGUUUUGUUGAAGGUAUCAGGUAACCUUGGCGGAGGCUCACCCAUCCCUUUGGAAGAUAGUGCUGAUGAUAAGUUACUUUGCGGAUAAGGCCAGGCUCGAAUUCACCCUUAGUCAUCUCAUUAGGUUUUAUUGGCCUUUGCAUUACCGGGGCUUGAUUUCUCUGCAACGUUGAUCCACCCGAUCCCUUGCCGUUAACGACGAAGAGGAUGAGGACCGAGGGUGGAUGAGCCGAUUAUUUCAAGCAUGGACAAUUGAUAUCAUCCCUGGAGAGUUUUUGCCAUUUCCUGAGAAAUGGAAAUUCACACGUAAGUGGUACACUUGUGUUUUUAUUGCUUUGUCCACAGUGGAGGAGGGCUCCGUAAAGUUGUUUUUUAUUUUAUUUUCAGCGAUUCCUUGGCUGCUGAAUGAGGUUCCUGACCUGGCUGAAUGGUCUCGUAAGCUGGCAGCUUGCUCAACUUAUGAUAAGUGCAAAUGACGAGACCUGUCCAAGGGGAGAUGGUAGGCAAAGCAUCAUGGUAGGUGCUUAGUGGUUGAUUUCCUCAGAAAGGUACUUUCUUUUUAGCGUACUAACUCUGCCGCCGCAGGUAUUGGAGGUUUUUCCAAGAUGAGGCCGUGCCUCUUUGAGGAGGAGGAAAGAUUGCCAAUCUCGGGACCAAGUUUUGAUAAAACACAGAAGGAAUCAUCGAAGGGCGAGGAUACUCGUAGUGAGGUAAGCCCUGCUCGGAGGGUCAAAAAAGAUGUGUUAGUCGAUCCUGCGGGCUGUAAGGUACUUUGAGGGACAUUCGAGGCCAGGGGCCAAGCAAAUCCAGUGGAGCAUCGGGUGGCUGCCCUCCCAUCGGGAGUAGUUUUACUGAGACCGAUGAGGCCAAGCCAGUAAAUGUGUGCUCAAUUUGCGACUAAGUGCAUCAGCUUAAUUCCAUGGUGAGUUUUGGUAGUCGGCACAAACCCUCCAUUUUUUUUUAUUUCGUGCCUUCCCUUUUUUAUUGAGCUCCCUUCUUGCAGGCUUUUGACAAGCUCAAGUACAAGCUACUUAGUCGUGAAGCCAGGCUGCAGAAAGUAUUGGAUGGGGAGAAAUCCAUUAGGCUUCUUUGUAAGAAGAGGGGAGAUGAGUUGGACCACCUGUUGUACAAGGCGAACUGAAGUCGGAACUACAAAAGCUAUCUCGAAAGACAAGUAACCUUCAUUUUGUGUUUAUCUAUGCUCCCUCUUCUGCUUUCGGAGAUUAAUAUUCUGAUAUUCCAGUUGAAGAAUAAAACGGAAGAGCUGGAAUGACUUUAGGGCAAAGUUGGUCGGGUUAAACGCGAGUGUAACGAGCUAAAGGCUCAAGCAGAUGCACAAGUUGCUGCCAAGAAGGAUGCUUUGGCCAAGGCUUCCGCCCUCGAAGUGCAACUCUGGAAUGCUCGUGCAAACAAUUCGGUCCGAACGAGUAUGAUUGCGGGGCUCUAGUCCAAGCUUCUAAAGAUGAAGGCCGAGGUUGUAGAUACUCGGGCUGAAGCUGAAGAGAUCAGAACCAAGGCUGAUAGAAAGGUGGUCGUCUAUUUGCGAGAUGCUACUAAUGCUCAAACUGAGCUGAAAUGGGCCCUCGACUAGAAGAGUAGGUGCAACGAGUAUGUCAGGUGUAAAUCUCAGAGGGAAACUUUCGAGGAGAUCAAUGCCAGGGGCUUUAAUCUCUCGAAAGAGAUAGAGCAGGCAAAAGCGGAUGAAUGUGACGUUAAGUUCCUUCUUUCCAAUGCCGAAGAUAGCGAGUAAGAGAUCGACGAGCCAUAGUCCCCGAGUGGGAUGCAGAUUAGGCCUUUCUUUUCUUAAUUUGUGCAUAGUGCUUUAAGAGAAUAUUGUAAAUGGAUUUUUGUAUUUUUUUCUCAUAUAUGCAUAAGAGGAAACCUUGCGGUUUCAUUUUUCAUGUACUUCCCUUUGUCAGCCUUUAGCCACACGAAUGUCUCUUCGAGUUAAAAGGAAAUUCUCAGAUUUAUAGUACAGCCCUAGGGCUCAUUGGCCUGGCCCGUCUGCUCUUAUGCGCUCGGUCGGUACGACCUUUUAGUAUAAGCCAGUGUUUGAGCUCUUAUGCUUUUUCUCUUAGGAAUAUUUAGUUAACUAUUUUGGAUUCAGUCUCCGAGUCGAGUUUUGACUCGUCCUCAUUGACCCUUAUGUUUUUUAAUUUAAAGUUGGCCCUUCGGCUCUUACGCAUUUAGUCGGUACAACCUUUUAUAUGGGCUGGUGGCAGUGGCUCUUACGCAUUGGGUCGGUAUGACCUUUUAUAUAGGCUGGCAGUAGUGGCUCUUACCCACUGGGUCGGCACGACCUUUUAUAUGGGUUUUAUUUUUCCCUCCUUAAGGUCUUUUUGAAAUUGUGUUUGCCUGAUCUUUGACGGUUCGAUAUAACUCUUGAUUGUGAGUCGUUAUAUGGUGAUGAUCGAGCACCUCGGGAGGUUUUGCUCGAUGGCUGAGUGUUUCGAAGCCUAUAGUUUGGAGCUGACAUGGUUGAAGCUCUUUUGCCUAUGUUGAGGGUAGCCCAUUUAACCGGUUCUUUUCGAAGUACAUUCGAAGUAAUUGAAGGCCUUUGCUUUUAUAGCGACGGUCGGGCAUCCCCGAGUCGCAUUAGUUUGGCUAGUACAACCUUGCGACUAUAGUCAUUGUGUUUGGCCGGAGCCUUUCAGUCCCCGAUGAAGUUGUUUCGGCGCCUAUAUCGAGGGUAUACUUUUUAGAGGUCUUACAAGUUCGAUAUAUAGCCUUAACUUUAAGAUCAGGAUUAUGCCUUUUGUAAGGUUUUAUAUGUUUUUGCAUGCCUUUGUGGUCUUACAGUAUGGUUCAUGCCUUGCUUGAGGUCUUAUAGAUAUUGUUGUUGCCUUAUAUAGGUCUUACGAGACCAAGGCUUCCCACAUGGGGUCUUAUGGCCUCGGUUUCUUGAUAAGUUGAUGGGGGUGGCAAUUGGCGGCAGUCCCCGAGUCAUCAAAAGUUUCUUGGCUCGGUAGCCAUUCCUUGUAAACUUGGUAUUGCCUCAUCGAGGGCUUACGAGUUUGAAGCUCCGACCUAGAGGUCAUAUGGUUUCGAGUUGUUGACGUCUUUCCCUGAGUGUUCAGGAUGUUUUUUGGUCCUUUUUUGCAAAAACAUACUAAGCUUCUUUGAUUACUUGGUACAAGUAUACACAUUUUCACUAUUAAAGGCUUGGUUAUUCUAUAUGGACACAGUUCGUUUGAGUGUUUGGACCUGUACAUUAUUUUCCUAUCGAAACCUCGUUCAGCACAUCUUGGCUUCUCCGAGGAGGUGACCUUCUGGGGGGUUGCCCCCAAUAUUCAAGGUUGAUUGAAAAAGAAGCCUUGAAUACUGUUGAGUCUUCCUUAGGUAGCAUAUAGAUGUUGCCUCGUUAAAAACCUUGCCGGUAAACCCUUCUUUGGAUAAAAACCUGGUCGAAGGAAAAUAGUGCAAUGUAUGAUUUUGGAACCUAAGUCCUUCGAGUUGGAGAGCGCUUCGGCCGUUUCCAUCGGAUACCUGCAUUCAAGUUAGUAUAAAAUGUAACUAAAAAAGGGAGAUGACCAUACCUUAGUGCUGACGGUGCUUCAGACCUCGAUGUGAUUCAAUCAUUUUUUUUUAGGACUCGGUACGAUCCUUCAUUUUGUUUAGUCAGGCAUAGACGAGAAUGUAGCUUUCUAUCGCUAUCUGACUGUUUUCUUAUCCUUCAGCUCCUUUGAUGGUGGAGGUAUUUGUGUUGGUGCCACAUCGUGCAUCGCGAACAUCCUUUUUGCCGCAUGUUGUUCCCCAUAAACGGUUUUUACCCUAUCCUUUGUCGGGAAUUUCAUCAUUUGAUGGAGGGUGGAUGGUAUUGAUCUCAUACAAUGUAUCUAUGGCCUCCCGAACACGGCGUUGUACCUCAUGUCUCCUUCGAUGACAUGGAAUUUGGCAUUUUGGGUUGUGCCGACCACGUUGACCGGGAGGGUAAUUUGCCCUUUCGUUGUUUUGCUCGCCAUGUUGAACCCGUUGAGGACUCGAGAGUUGGGCACGAUUUGGUCAAGCAGUCCGAGCUGCUCUACCACCCUCGACAUAAUAAUAUUGGCUGAGCUACCUGGAUCCACAAGUACACGUUUAAUUUGAAAUGUAUUUACAAGGAAAGAGAUUACCAGUGGUUGUAAGGCUGAGACAAGGUCUCGGGUCUCAAUGUCCUCGUCACUGAAUGUGAGAGCGUCCUCGGGUAUGUAACCUCUAGUUCGCUUUUCUCUGGUGAUGGAUAUUUUUAUUCUUCUGAUCAUCGGUUCUUGUGGAUCAUCGAUGCCUCAUAAGAUCAUGUGGAUGACAUGUUGCGGCUUAUUUGUUUCAUUCUUCUUGGUCACCUCUCUUUCCCGAAAUUGAUUUUUGGCCCGAUCGCUGAGGAAUUCUCGGAGGUGACUUUUGCUGAGUAAUUGGGCUACUUCUUCCCGAAGUUGCUGGCAAUUUUUGGUCAUGUGACCAUGCGUGUUUGGAAAUUCACACACUAAGUUAUGGUUUCUUUGCGAAGGAUCUGACUCUACAGGCCUUGGCCACCUGGUGUCUCUGAUUUUCCUGAUGGCGAAUAUGAUGUCUAAAACGUCGACGUUGAAGUUGUAUUCCGACAGGCGGGGUGCCUCCGUCGGCCCUGUGUGCCUAUCCAAUCCAGCCCUGCUAACAAGUCCACGAGGAUUCCGUUCGUGAUCCAUCAUCUGGUCGUUACAGGGUAUGUUUCGCCUUGGGGCGUUUCUUCUAUCUUCAGUGUAUGGUUGGUAUAUCUCUUUAUUCGGCUUUGACUCCUUUGUCAGAAGCCUUCUAGAAUAAAUCGAGCUCGAGGGGGCUCCUAGUUGGUCGUCUUUGACCCUGAUAUUUUAUUGGUAUCGGUUGUGGACGUCCGACCAAGUCACGGCGGGAUAUUCGACUAAGUUCUGCUUCAGCUGAUUCGAAGCUACCGAGCUUUGCUCGUUCAAUCCUUUAGUGAAGGCUUGCAUCGCCCUGUCGUCGGAGACCGGUGGUAGUUCCAUUCAUUCCAUUUGAAAGCGAGAUACAAACUAUCGCAGCUUCUCGUUCUCCUUUUGCUUGAUUUUGAAGACGUCGGAUUUUAUUGUAGCUACUUUGAUGGCACCAGCAUGUGCCAUUAUGAAAGAGUCUGCCAGCAUGGCAAAUGAAUCUAUUGAGUUUAGGGACAGGUUGUGAUACCACAUCAUUGCCCCUUUUGAAAGCAUUUCUCCAAACUUUUUCAGUAGGACGGACUCGAUCUCGCCGUCCUUUAGUUUGUUUCCCUUCACUACACAAGUGUAAGUAGUGACGUACUCGUUAGGGUCUGAGGAUCCGUUGUACUUCGGAAGGUCGGGCUUUCUGAACUUUUUUGGAAUGGGUUUUGGGGCCACUUCCUAUGGGAAUGCCUUUUGUACAAACUUCUUCGAAUAUACACCUUUCAGAAUCGGGGGUGCACCUGGAAUUUGAUCGACCCUAGAAUUGUAGGUCUAUACAUUCUUGUCGUUGGCUUCUAUCUUUUUCUCGCCCGACUCGAUCCUCUUUGUGAGGUCCUCAAACAUCUUUAUGAUGGCGGGGUCGGCUGUCGACCCGUUGUUGCUUGAUCUUUCUGGUACCUGCUCAACUCAGGGAGUCGUUUCCCGAGCUACCGUGCUGGGAGUCUUUUGGUGGCUUUGCAGCUUAGCAAUCGCCAACUGCUGUGCUUGUAACAUUUCGAAGAUGACGUGAAGGCUAACCCUUUGUUCUUCCUGAGUCGGGGUUUAUUGAACUUCUUGUUGAUCUUCUUGGUGUAUGCUCUUAUUGGUGUGGGAGCUUAUUUCGAUGUGUUGGGCGUUGCGCGAGACCAUGUACACGGGAAUUGGUUUUGGUGCAUUCUCAGGGUUUCGUGGUAGUACACCAACACCUGGAACAUCCACACCAUUUUUUCCAUGGUCUUCAAGAUUGUUGUUUUCACGUGCAUUUACCGUGUUAGACAUUUUGACCUUAAAUCAAUGAUCUUGGACAAGAAAAAGUGUGAAAGGUAACUUGCGUUAUGUAGUAAACCAGCAAGAAAAUAAUCACUAUUAUUUUUAGCCCCACGGAGGGAGCCAAACUGUUUACCGCAAAAAUGGUAAUUAUAAUUAUAUUUGAUUUUCUGGUUCUAAAAAUACGUGAUCUACUUUUAUACUAGUUGUUAGGGAAUGGAUGCUAAGUGGGAAAUAAGAUAAUAGCUUGAAAACAAUGUGAUAAUUAAACCGAAUGGCUAAUAAUCGGGGCCUUGAGCUUGUGUAUUUGGGGCCACGAGGUCGAGUCAGAUGCCCUACCGAGAAUAGUCGAUGGAGGACUAACAGUUAUGAUAAAUUCAAUGGCGGCUCUUUAUGGCCAAUAAUAAGCAAUAAAUGAAGAACAAUAAGUAGAACACAAUAAAUGUAAGUAGUGGAGUCAAGAGAAUUUGUUAGAAAGCAGAGAGAAUGUUCUUGUAUUUUUAUAUUGUGUAUCAGAUCCCCCUACAAAAUGACAAGGAUCCCUUUUUUAUAUGAGGGGGAAUCUCAACAUAGUACUAAUGCAUUUAUUACAAAGAUAUGGGGCUGGUACAAAUAUUUAAUGCCUUGAUUCGGGUCUGAACUAGCCACUAGACUUUGUCAGCUCUAGUUACGCGCCUUGGGAACUUCCCACUUUUUCACUAGACUUUGUACUGCUCCGAGGUCGGACGUCGAUAGCCCUCGUGUGUGAAUCUCGACCAUAGCCUUAAGCCUUUCAAAACGUGCUUGCGAGGCAUCGUAAUGACCGAAAAUUGGACUCUUCGAUUUUACCGUAUACAGAGAGAACAACAUGGUAGACAUGAUUUUAGCCAAAAAUAAUUAAAAGAAAGAGAGGAUCGAAGUGCACUCACCUUUUUUUGAGCAGCAAACCAAAUAAAGACUCUUUCUUAGCUUUUUAGAAUCAAGAACUCAAACUCCUACCACUGUAGACCUCAAAGUCGGAACGAAAUCAGAAGUUUGUUGGAAAACCCUAGCUUGAUUUUUACUACUCAAGACUAAAAUUGAUAUUUCUCUUUUUAUUAUGUGAUUUCGUGUGUAUCUUGUGUUGUUAGGUGAAAGUGUUAAAGCUACUAUUUAUAGUUGCAUUAAAAUCCCUCUAAGGUUCAACAGAAUUCAAACUGGCAGUGGAAGGUGAUGGAUGGGUGAUGAUGUAAGCAUAAUUAGGUGAAAAUCUAAGAAGACAGAGGGAAAUCAGCGAGAGUUUUUACUUGAGAGGGGGAAGUUGACUGUUGAAGGCAAGAAACAUUGGGUAAGAGCUUCAUUAUCCAGAGGUUGCUUCGUUUGACCUCUAGACCAAGAAUAAUCAUGAUACCCCCGGGAGACACCAUGCAUGUCAUGGAUUUAACCAAUCAUAGAAGGAUUUCUGAAUAUUUGACAUUGCAUCGUUUGGUCUAGCAUUUCGGAUUUGGGGAUCUUGAAUCUCCUAGAUGAAACUAGCAAAGGUUCAAGGAGAAUCAUGGAUAAGGAAGACAAAGGGGAUGAGUAGUGGUCAUGAUUCAUGACCUUGCACUAAUUUGUACAAGUUUCUUUAACUGAUGGGGUCUGGUGAGUUGAGAAAGUAGAGAGCAAAAGGGGAAAGGGAAUGUCUGUGUUGGGUGGAAAAUGAUUUAGGGGUUGAGUGAUUUGGGGUUUGUCUCCACGGUUAAGACUGAGAGACGGAACAGCAAUUUAAAAGGUUUAAUGAGGAAAAACGAUGAUCGUUGGAUCCUUGUAAUCCAACUAAUGAGAUAAAAUCUAGUAGGGGUAUUAAAAUAAGGAGAAAAGUAAUAAUAAAUCUGGUCCAUUGAUGGCAUGGAUCGACGGUCAAGAUUAAGUGUGUUUGUUUUUUGAGUGAGUAGGUCGGGUGACGUGGUGAGCUUAAAUUGGCUUAGGGCUAGUGACACAGAUUUCCAUAGUGUAAAGAGAGGGGUAGACUUGGACUGGGUUAGAUGGAAUUGAGCUUGGGUAUUGGGAUGUUAUUGAUUUAAACAAUAGUCAUUUUGUGUUAAAUUGCACACUUGCAAAUGUAGUCAUUUGAUCUUUAUCCUUUUAAUGAUUAAUUUAAUUAAACUUAAAUAAUUCCAAUAAAAUACAGUAGAAAUUAUAUUAAUCAAAUACAUUAUUAAUUACUGUAAUUAAUUUAUUAAUUUACUAAAAUAUCUUAUUUUUCUUUUUGCUACAUUAAUUUCGGAUUUAUUUUAAAAUAACAGGCUAUGUUGCCAAAAAUUGAGAAAUAACUUUAUUAAAUUAAUUAUAUAUCUAUGUGAUGAAUAUGAAAAUUAUUUCUUUCAAUAAAAAGAAGAACAAGACAAACAUAUGAUUAAAAAUCCCAGUCCUAAUCCAAGUUCAAGUCCUAAUCCAAGUCCAGAAAGGUCUCAAAGCUCAGGGAAAGAUGGUAAUUACGAAGAUGAAAACCACCUAAAUUAUCAAGAUGCUCAAGAUUCAUACGAAGUUGAUUCAGGAAUGAGUUUUCAUUCAAUAGCUCUACAUAAUUUAGACACGCAAAAGGAAGCAAGGUCUCAGUCAAAAGCAAUUGAGAGAAACAAAGACAAAGAAAGAGCAAUAAUGCUGGUAUCCCACUAGGCGUGCCAAUGCAAAAGACAAUUAAAGAAAAGAAGACGUGACAUAAAGAAAAGAAGACGUGACAUAAAGAAGAAAAAAAAUAAAGGAAAAAAGAUGCGACAAAAGGUAGUGUUAGUGGUGCUACAAGACAAGCUGAAAAUUUGAGUGGAAGAAAAAGUCAGAGCUAGAAGAUUUUUCGGACUAAUAAGUUUAUGAAACAACAUAUUUUUACUAAAUACAUAAGCUUCCAUAUUACAACCCCAUAUAACCAAAAAGGCUCUAGAAAUGCCAGAUAAAUUGGACAAUACUAAAGAAUUACAAAAGUUUCUAGGAAUAGUAAAUUAUGCAUGAAAUUUUAUAAAAGACUUAGGAAAAAUAGCACGACCACUAUAUGCUAAGACAGGCUUUACAGGACAAAAGUAUUACAACACAGAGGAUAUUAAAUUAGUACAAAAAAUUAAAGAAAAAUAAAAAGUAUUCCUGAUUUAAAUAUGCCUUUAGAAACAGACUACUUAAUUAUAGAAACAGACGGUAGCUUUGAAGGAUGGGGAGCAAUUCUGAAGGCAAAACCAAAUAAAUAUAGUGAUAAGAAUACAAAAAAAAUAUGUGCUUACCAAAGUGGUAAAUAUAGAGAAAAAGGAAAUAUGAGUAGUGUAGAUGCAGAAAUAUUAGCUAUAAUAUACGGAUUAAAUAGUUUUAAAUAAUAUAUAUUUAAUAAACAAAAAGUAGCAAUUAGAACUGACUAUGAAACUAUAGUUAAGUUUCACCAAAAGAUAAACGCAAAGAAUAGUAGUACAAGAAGAUGGUUAAAUUUUAUUGAUACUAUAUUAAUAUAUAAUUGGGUUUUUGAACAUAUUAAAGGAAAAGAUAAUAAUCUAGCAAAUUAGUUAAGUAGGCUUAAAACUACUGUCAAUUUUUACAUGUACAGCAUGAGACAACAGUUCCCAAGACUGAAGACAAGGGAAAGGGCAUUCAAGGCUCACCCUUAGACAAAUACUUGCAGACAGUAUUAGGUAAUCUUCAUUUUAAGCCACAGCCUUUUGCAGAACAAACUAAUAUGGAAGGAUAAGUUUUGGAAAGCAUAAUUUAAUAUUCUUUCCUCCAUCAAACAUAUCAUUUAGAAUUUUACCAGAAUGUGUCAUAGAUAGACCUCAAAGAUAUUUAAUCGAUAACUUAUGGAUAACAUACAAUAAAAAAGAUAUUAAAUAUUUUAUAGCGGCUUUUAAUGCCCUAGGACAGCAUUUUACAGACAAAAACCAAGAUAAAAGAUUUAAAUACUAUAUAGUUAUACAUGGUAAGACAAAUGGUAUUUUUCAGACAUGGUUAGAAGUACUAGACUCUAUUAAAGAUUUAGAAAAAAAGCUUUUCAAAGGUUUUAAUGACUUCACUGAAGCAUUAGACUAUGCAAGAGGAAUACUAAGACCAAACUACUAUAUCUCCCGGGAACUCAGACAAAACCCAGAAAAAACCCCCCAAUAUAACAUCCAAAAAGAUAACGAUAAGAUAAUAUUCUAUGAUCAUUGUUGAUCAAUGACAAAAGCCUUCAAACGAAUAAACCAGAAGAAUGAAAUCCUGGCACAGGAAAAAACAAAACUUAUGGAGCAAGUGAAGGUACUAGAACAGAGAGUACAUGCAUUAAGAUUUGAAUUGACACAAUCCCAGACUUAAGUUAUUUCUCAACAAGACGUAGAGAUGAGCAGUCCAAAACAGAGUAAUCCAUCUCAAGAAAAAAUGGAUGAGAAGGGUGUGCAUUCCCCAAUGAAUGCAGCAAAAUCUACUGUAUCGGAUAAUGAUACAGCUAGUCCAGCUCAAACGGUGACCGGUAAAGACACAUCAAAUCCUUUUAUAGCUGUCACUUUGCCAAAAAAGUGAAGAUGAAGGUUCAUCAAGACGAAGACUACCUAGAAAUUAACAUAGGGAGAAGCAUUAAAAAGGAAGGGUAUAAUUUCUAAAAAGAAAAAAAAAAUGAGAAAAUAGAAAACAUAAUUAAACAAACAUUAGAAAAUUACUUUCAAGAAAAAGAAGAACAAGGCAAACAUAUGAUUAAAAAUCUCAGUCCUAAUCCAUGUCCAAGUUCGAAUCCAAGUCCAGAAAGGUCUCAAAGCUCAAGGGAAGAUGAUAAUUACGAAGAUGAAAACCACCUAAAUUAUCAAGAUGCUCAAGAUCCAUACGAAAAUGAUUCAGGAGUGAGUUUUGAUUCAAUAGCUCUACAUAAUUUAGAUACGUAAAAGGAAGAAAGGUCUCAGUCAAAAGCAAUUGAGAGUAGCAAAGACAAAAGAAAGAGCAAUAAUGUUGGUAUCCCACUAAGCGUGCCAAUGCGAAAUACAAUUAAAGAAAAGAAGACGUGACAUAAAGAAAAGAAGACGUGACAUAAAGAAAAAAAGAAAUAAAGGAAAGACGAUGUGACAAAAGGUAGUGUUAGUGGUGCUACAAGACAAGCUGAAUUUUUUAGUGGAAGAAAAAGUUACAAGCACUAAAGGAUUCUCUGCUCAAGCCAUGUGAAGAUGGGGCCCAAUGAAGUACCCUACAAGGCGGGACAAGAAAGAUUUCUGGAAAUGUUUGAAGUCCAUUUUUCAAAUCCGUUUCAAAAACUUGGCUAUAAAAAGGAGAAGAAAGAAGAAGAGAAGCAAGAUACAAGUCCAAGAAAGAACACUCUCAAGAAAACCAUCCAAACAUCUACCUUCAUCACCCACCAUUCUCCAAAACACCUUGUAAUAUAGAUUUAUAAAAUAUUUCCUUAUGUAUGCAUUAGUAGUUCCUCCUUCAAUCCUGUAAAAUAAAUAAAUCUCUACACUUAUGUGUGUUCAUUUUUAAUUACAAAGUCCAGUAAGCUCUUUCGGGUUUCCCGAAAGGGAAAUUUCUCUCCUGGAAACAUUUAAGUUACUUAUUUUUAUCUAAAUUAUGUUUCUAGAUAUUACCCCUGUUUUAUUUACAGUUUUAGGUUAUUUUGUAUAGCUUUAUGCUUAUUAUUCCUCAAUUAUUAGUUUGAUUAUUGUCACGAUCCGGAUUUUUCACCCUCGGAAGUCGUGAUGGUGCCUACUAAUGUGAGCUAGGCAAGCCAAUUAUUGAACCAUCUACCUUUUUACCAAAUUUAUUCUCUUUAACAAUUACGAAGAAAUAACAUUUAAACAACAGAAUUUAACAUAAGCGGAAGAAAACAAUAAGCCAACUCAACAUGAAUAUCUAUUACAAUUGUUUGAGUCUCGACUACCCAGAACUGGUGUCACAGUUUCAUAGACGGUCUAAGAAUACUACAAAUAAAGGUCUGAAAGAAUUUAAUAUAACACUGUCUCUGGAAAUACAUGUAAGAAACAGACAGGUAGAUAGAAAGGAAACGCCAAGGCCUACGGACGCCUGCAGGGCUACUUCGGGUCGCCUGAUGAACAAGAGUCAGCAAUCUCACUGCGGUCUAAAGUCUACAACAUUGGGGUCUGCACAAAAUAGUGCAGAGUGUAGUAUCAGCACACCCGACCCCAUGUACUGGUAAGUGCCUAGCCUAACCUCGAUGAAGUAGUGACGAGGCUAGGACCAGACCAAAUAAAACUGUGCAGUUAUAUAAUAUACAGUAGAAAGUAAAGCAGGAACAAGCAAGUAAAGAUGGGAGGGGGAAACAUGUUGCGGGGGUAUACCAGUAUUAAUAGUAAAUCCAGAGUAACAGUCUAAGGGCAGCUUAGAGUCCACAGCAAAACAAAAGAAACUAAUAUCCAAACUAAGCACACUUGUAUCAAUAAUUGUUGCGGCGUGCAACCCGACCCCAAUAUAUAACAACAUUGUUGCGGCGUGCAACCCGAUCCACAUAUAUCAUUGUUGCGGCGUGCAACCCGAUCCACCCAUAACAUUGUUGCGGCGUGCAGCCCAAUCCAAUAUAACAUUGUUGCGGCUUACAACCCAAACAAAUAAAAAAUUGUUGCGGCGUGCAACCCGAUCCAUAUAUAAUAUUAUUGCAGCGUGCAACCCCAUCCAUAUAUAAUAUUAUUGCGGCGUGCAACCCAAUCCACAUAUAAUAUUGUUGUGGCGUGCAACCCGAUCCACAUAUAAUAUUGUUGUGUUGUGUAACCCGAUCCACGUAUAAAAUCAACAACAAUCAUAACAAGAGUCUCGACGAGGGAUGAAUAAGGCCUACACUAUCCCGGCAAGGGAGAAACACCUAUAACCAAACUUGUUACAACAUCUAACCACCUCAGCUAUAAACAAACUUGUUAUAACAUCUAACUACCUCAACUAUAACCGAACUUGUUCCCCGAGAGUAACCAUAAUCCUUACCCUACACAAAGAGUCAUCAACCUAAGCAUCUGUAAUAUCAAUUAAGAACAAAUUGCAAGGGAAUCACAACUCGACAAUAGCCCGGCAAGGGGGCACAUAAUGAUCUCUUCUUUUUCUCAUUUUUACUUCACAAUUCACUUCACAACUCGAGCCAAUGCUCUAGAGGUUCAAUUAUAACUUAUACUUUCACAAUUCAUUAUACAACUAGAGCCAACGCUCCUCAAUGUUCAUAGGUCACAAUUCUUUCCACAACUUUACACAACAAAUGGAAAUCCUCACCAAGACAUGAAUAAUACAACGAAGUCAUGAAAAUCACAAUAUAAGACUCACGGUCAUGCUCGACACCAAAGUAUAGAUACUCGUCACCAUGCCUAUACGUCGUACUCAACAAGAAACAAAUAGCAAAUAGGACACAACUCCUAAUCCCUCAAGCUAAGGUUAGACCAAACAGUUACCUCGAAUUUCCACGGCCAACUCAAGCCUCAAACAUCGCCUAUCCUUUCGAAUUUGGCUCCAAAUCAAUUAUAUCUAGACAUAAUCGACUUAAUAACAUCAAUAAACGUUAAACAAUCCAAUUCAAAUGCUUAAUUAUAGCUUUCUAAUCAUUCUUCCCAAAAAGUCAAAAAUAGACCCCGGGCCCGCUUGGUCAAAACACGAGGUCCGGACCAAAACCCAAUCACUCAUUCACCAACGAGCCCGAAUAUAUAAUUUAUUUUGAAAUCCAACCCCAAAACGAGGUCAAAUUCCCAAAUAAUAAAAAAGCCCUAACUCUAACCAAAUCCCUAAUUUUCUACCCUUAAUCUCAUGUUUUAGGCCUAGAAAUCUAGUAGGUGUUAAUAAAAAUGGAAGAAAACGAGCUUAGGAUUACAUACCUAUGAAGCUAUGGUGAAGUUCCUCUUCAAAAAUCGCCCAAGAGGUGUGGAGAAGAUGAAGUUUAUGAAAAAUGGUGGAAAUCCCGUAAUGUAUUUUAUUUUUGGAACUUAAAAUAACUGGGCGAAUUUGGUCUGAGAGACCUUCGCGUUUGCGUAAACGGGCUCGCGUUCAUGGAGAUUAACUCCUCGAGCCAUCGCAUUCGCGGCCAGGUGGUCGCGUUCGCAUAGGGUAUAAUAUCCCUCCCCCUGCCCAGACUCAUAAGCCUUCGCGUUAGCGUUACCAGGCCCGCGUUCGCGAAGGGAAGACCCCCUUUAGCUUCGUGUUCGUGACCUGGGUCACGUGUUCGCAUAGAAAGAAAUUUCCUACAGCAUGAAUAACUCAUCGCGUUCGCGAGGAUCCUCCCGCGAACGCGAAGAAGAAAAUACCAACACACUAUAACCGAAAAACCUGCAACUUUUAUGAGUUCAAAAACCUUCCGAAACUCACCCGAGCCCUCGGGGCUCCAAACCAAACAUACGUACUAACUGAAAAAUAUCAUAUGAACUUAUUUGUGCAAUCAAAUCACUAAAAUAUCCCCUUAAACAACAAAUUAAUCCUCAAAAUCAAUGAAAUAUUUCAAAACUUCUUAAAACAUCAAAUUUUGCCUAUAAGGUCCGAAUCACGUAAAAUGACACCCGUUUCUUACCAAACUUCACAGAAUUAUCUUAAAUCAUAUAUAAGACUUAUAUCGGGCACCAGAACCAAAAUAUGUGCCCGAUACCAACAUGUUCUAAUCAAAAUUCAUUUCCAAAUCCUUUAAACAAUUUUAGAAAACAAUUUUCUUUGAAAAUUCAUUUCUCAGGCUUGGGACCUCGGAAUUCGAUUUCGGGCAUACGCUCAAGUCCCAUAUUUUCCUACGGACCCUCCGAGACCGUCAAAUCACGGGUCCGGGUCCGUGUACCCAAAAUGUUGACCGAAGUCAAAUUUAUUCAUUUUAUAGUCAAAACUUAUUAUUUUUCACAGAUUUUCACAUAUAAGCUUUUCGACUACGUGUCCGGACUGCGCACGCAAAUUAAGGUGAUGCUAAAAGAGGUUUUUUAAAGCCUCGAAAUGCAAAAUUCAUUUUAAAAACAAGUGAUGACCUCUUGGGUCAUCACAUUCUCCACCUCUAAAGCAACUGUUCGUCCUCGAACGGACAGAAGAAGGAAGUACCUGAGUCGGGGAAAAGAUGGGGAUAACGGCUUCGCAUAUCGGACUCGGACUCCCAGGUCGAUGCCUCAAGAGGCUGACCUCCCCACUGAACACGAACAGAAGGAAAACUCUUUGAUCUCAACUGACAAACCUGCCGGUCUAGAAUAGCUACCGGCUCCUCCUCAUAAGACAAGUCCUUGUCCAACUGGACAGUGCUAAAAUCUAACACGUGGGAUAGAUCGGCGUGAUACUUCUGAAGCAUGGACACAUGAAACACUAGAUGUACGGCUGAUAAGCUCGGUGGUAAUGCAAGUCUAUAAGCAACCUCUCUUACUCGAUCAAGAAUCUCAAACGGGCCAAUGAACCUAGGGCUAAGCUUUCCCUUCUUCUCAAAUCUUAUCAUGCCCUUCAUAGGCGACACUCUAAGCAAUACCCGCUCACCGACCAUGAAUGCCAAAUCAUGAACCUUGCAGUCGCCAUAACUCCUUUGCUUGGACUGAGCUGUACGAAGCCUAUCCUGAAUAAUCCUGACCUUGUCCAAGGCAUCCUGAACCAGAUCCGUACCUAAUAACUUAGCCUCUCCCUGCUCAAAUCAUCCAAACUGAUACCGACACCGCCUACCAUAUAAAGCCUCAUAAGGAGCCAUCUAGAUACUCGACUGGUAACUGUUGUUGUAGGCAAACUCCGCUAAAAGCAAAAACUAAUCCCACGAGCCACCAAAGUGAAUGACACAAGCUCGGAGCAUAUCCUCCAAAAUCUGAAUGGUCCGUUUGGACCGCCCGUCCGUCUAAGGAUGAAACGUUUUGCUCAACUCAUCCCGCGUGCCCAACUCUCACUGAACUACCCUCCAUAAGCGGGAGGUAAACUGCGUACCUCGGUCCGAAAUGAUAGACAGGGGCACACCGUGAAGGGGAACAAUCUCCUGGAUAUGGAUCUCAGCUAACCUCUCAGAAGAUAUGAGACUGCCACAGGAAUGAAAUGCGCUGACUUGGUCAGCCUAUCAACAAUGACCCAUACUGCGUCGAACUUCUUCUGAGUCCGUGGGAGUCCAACAACAAAGUCCAUAGUGAUACGCUCCCAUUUCCACUCAGGAAUCUCAAUCUUUUGGAACACACUGCGAGGCUUCUGAUGCUCAUACUAACAUGCUGAAAAUUCAAAUACCAAUCCACAUACGCAACGAUAUCCUUCUACAUUCUCCUCCAUCGAUAAUGCUGCCACAAAUCCUGAUAAAAUCAACUCUCGGAGUCCAUCCACAUCGGGCACACAAACUCGACCCUGCAAUCUCAGGACUCCAUCAUCACCUAAGGUAACCUGCUUUCCACCUCCGUGCUGUACUGUGUCUCUAAGGACACACAAAUGGGGAUCAUCAUACUGUGGAGCUCGGAUACGCUCCAAUAAUGAAGAACGAGUGACUGUGCAAGCUAACACACGGCUGGUCUCAGAAAUAUCCAACCUUAGGAACUGAUUGGCCAAAGCCUGAACAACCAAAGCAAGCGGCCUCUCACCGACCGGAAUAUAAGCAAGACUGCUCAUACUGGAUGACUUCCUACUCAAAGCAUAGACCAAUACAUUGGCCUUUCCUGGAUGAUAUAAGAUGGUGAUAUCAUAAUCCUUCAACAACUCCAACCACCUCCUCUGCCUCAAAUUCAACUCCUUUUGCUUGAACAAAUACUGAAGACACUUGUGAUCCAUGAACACCUCACAUGCCACGCCGUACAGAUAAUGCCUCCAAAUCUUCAACGCGUGAACAAUGGCUGCCAACACCAAAUCAUAAACCGGAUAGUUUUUCUCAUGAAUCUUCAACUAUUGCGAAGCAUAGGCAAUGACCUUUCUAUCCUACAUCAACACUGCACCAAGUCCGAUACGAGAUGCAUCCCAAUAGACUGUAUAAGGCCCUGAACCUGUGGGCAAAACCAACACCGGUGCCGUAGUCAAAGCUGUCUUGAGAUUCUGAAAGCUCGCCUCACAGUCGUCCGACCAUUUGAACUAGGCACCCUUCUGGGUUAACCUGGUCAUCGGGGAUACGAUAGAUGAAAACCCCUCCACGAACCAAUGAUAGUAGCCUGCCAAACCCAAGAAACUCCAAAUCUCUGUAGCUGAUGCUGCUCUAGGCCAGUUCUUGAUUGCCUCAAUCUUCUUCGAAUCAACCUGAAUACCCUCUGCCAAUACAACAUGACCCAGAAAUGCAACUGAACUCAACCAGAACUCACACUUUGAGAACUUAGAAUAUAACUGACUAUCCCUUAAGGUCUAAAGAACCACUCUAAGAUGCUGCUCGUGCUUCUCCCGGCUGCGGAAAUAUAUCAAAAUAUCAUCAAUGAAGAGUAUUACGAACGAGUCCAAAUAAGGCAUGAACACUCGAUUCAUCAAAUCCAUAAAAGUUGUUGGGGCAUUUGUUAACCCGAAUGACAUCACCAAGAACUCAUAAUGCCCUUACCGAGUGCGGAAAGCUGUCUUAGGGACCUCGGAUGCCCUAACCUUUAACUUAUGGUAGCUAGAUCUCAAGUCAAUCUUCGAAAAUACUUUGGCACCCUGAAGCUGAUCAAACAAAUCAUCAAUCCUUGGCAAUGGAUACUUAUUCUUGAUUGUAACCUUGUUCAACUACCGGUAAUCAAUACAUAUUCUUAUCGAUCCGUGCUUCUUCUUAACAAACAACACUGCCGCACCCAAAGGCGAAACACUCGGCCUAAUGAAACCCUUCUCAAAAAAGUCUUGCAACCGCUCCUUCAACUCUUUCAACUCAGACGGGGCCAUAUGAUACGGCGAGAUAGAAAUAUGCUGAGUGUCCGGAGCAAAAUCAAUGCAAAAAUCAAUAUCCCUAUCGGGUGGCAUACCCGGCAGGUCUGAAAGGAAUACCUCAGGAAACUCGCAAACAAUGGGCAUAGAAUCAAUAGAAGGAACCUCAGCACUAGAAUCACGAACAUAUGCUAAAUAGGCUAAACACCCUUUUUCGACCAUAUGCCGAGCCUUCACAUAAGAGAUAACACUACGGGUAGAAUGACCAGGAGUCCCUCUCCACUCUAAACGAGGCAAACCUGGCAAGGCUAAGGUCAUGGUCUUGGCAUGACAAUCCAAGAUAGCAUGGUAAGGUGAUAACCAAUCCAUCCCCAAUAUGACAUCGAAACCACCAUGUCUAGAAGAAGCAAAUCUACACGAGUCUUAAGACCCUUAAUCACAACUAUACAUGAACGAUGGACACAAUCUACCACAACAGAAUCACCCACCGAUGUAGACACAUAUACAGGAGCACCCAAAGAACCACUAGGCAUGACCAGAUGCAGUGCAAAAUAAAACCGAAGCUUCUCUACUACAAACCAGAACAGUACCUGCACUCCACCUCUAGCAUCUCUACCUCCACCUCUAGCAUUUGAGCGGGCUGGAUGAGUCCCUCAAUGAGCUCCUCACUCUCUCUCACAAUGGGAAGUAUGAUAAGAGCAUAACGAGCCAAGUCGGUGAAUCUCAUCUCGUACUGAGUAACAAUCAUAGAACCCUGCUGGAGAUGCUUGAACUACCUUCGAUAGGCCUCUCUCUGAGUGAUGGGGAGAAACUCCUCUAGAAAUAGCUGAGUAAACUACUCCCAAGUCAAAGCUGGUGAUCCGGCUGGUCUAGCCAAAGAGUAAUCUCUCCAUCAAGUCUUGGUGGAUCCAGACAAGCGAAAAGUAGCAAAGUCGACUCUAUAGGUGUCAACUAUCCCCAUAUUCCUGAGAACCUCGUGACGGCUAUCAAGAAAAUCCUAGAGAUCCUCAGAAGAUGCACCGCUGAAAGUAGUAGUGAAGAGCUUGGUGAAACCUAUCCAACCUCCAUGAAGCCUCCAAAGACGCAGCUGAUCUAUCACCGGUUUACUGUUGUUCGGCUAAAGAAGCAGUACAUGACCUUGCUAUUUGCGAAAGGACAAGAGUAGAGGUUUCAACUUAGCAUUGAGAGAUCAAAAUUGCACGACAGGAAAGAAUAGAUGUGAGGUUUUUCCUAACUCCGUAGCCUUUGGGGGAUAAAUACAGACGUCUCCAUACCGAUCCCUCAAACUCUACUAAGCUUGUCUGUGAAUUGUGAGACCCAUGUAACCUAGAGCUCUUAUACCAACUUGUCACGACCCGGAUUUUCCACCCUCGGGAGUCGUGAUGGCGCCUACUAAUGUGAGCUAUUCAAGCUAAUUAUUGAACCAUCUACCUUUUUACCAAUUUUAUUCUCUUUAACAAUUACAAAGAAAUAACAUUUAAACAACGGAAUUUAACAUAAGCGGAAGAAAACAAUAAGCCAUCUGAACAUGAAUAUCUAUUACAACUGUUUGGGUCUCGACUACCCAGAACUAGUGUCACAGUUUCACAGACGGUCUAAGAAUACUACAAAUAAUGGUCUGAAAGAAUUUAAUACAACAUUAUCUCUUAAAAUACAUGUAAGAAACAAGAAGGUAGAUAGAAAGGAGACGCCAAGGCCUACGGACGCUUGCAGGGCUACCUCGGGUCGCCUGAUGAAAAAAUAUCAGCAAUAUACUGCGGUCCAAAGUCUACAAUACUGGGGUCUGCACAAAAGAGUGCAGAGUGUAGUAUCAGCACAACCGACCCCAUCUGCUGGUAAGUGCCUAGCCUAACCUCGACGAAGUAGUGACGAGGCUAAGACCAGACUACCAAAUAAACCUGUGCAGUUAUAUAAUAUAUAACGGAAAGUAAAGCAGGAACAAGCAAGUAAAGAUGGGAGGGGGAAACAUGCUGCGGGGGUAUACCAGUAUUAACAGUAAAUCUAGAGUAACAGUCUAAGGGCAGCUUAGAGUUCACAGCAAAACAAAAGAAACUAAUAUCCAAACUAAGCACACUUGUAUCAAUAAUUGUUGUGGCGCGCAACCCGACCCCAAUAUAUAACAACAUUGUUGCGGCGUGCAACUCGAUCCACAUAUAUCAUUUUUGCGGCGUGCAACCCGAUCCAUUUAUAAUAUUGUUACGGCGUGCAACCCGAUCCACAUAUAAUAUUGUUGCUGCAUGCAAUCCGAUCCACAUAUAAAAUCAACAAAAAUCAUAACAAGAGUCUCGACGAGGGAUCAAUAAGGCUACACUAUCCCGGCAAGGGAUUCGACAGCCUAAGUAAUUACGUCCCGACAAGGGAGAAACAGCUAUAACUAAACUUGUUACAACAUCUAACUACCUCAGCUAUAACCAAUCUUGUUUCAACAUCUAACUACCCCAUCUAUAACCAAACUUGUUCCCCGAGAGUAACCAUAAUCCUUACCCAACACAAAGAGUCAUCAACCUAAGCAUCCAUAAUAUCAAUAAAGAACACAAUGCAAGGGAACCACAACUCAACAAUAGCCCGGCAAGGGGGCAACAUAAUGAUCUCUUCUCUUUCUCACAUUUACUUCACAAUUCACUUCACAACUCAAGACAAUGCUCUAAAGGUUCAAAUAUCACUUAUACUUUCACAAUUCGUUAUACAACUGGAGCCAACGCUCCUCAAUGUUCAUAGGUCACAAUUCUUUCCACAACUUUACACAACAAAUGGAAAUCCUCACCAAGACAUGAAUAAUACAACGAAGUCAUGAAAAUCACAAUAUAAGACUCACGGUCAUGAUCGACACCAACGUAUAGAUACUCGUCACCAUGCCAAUACGACGUACUCAACAAGAAACAAAUAGCAAAUAGGACACAACUCCUAAUCCCUCAAACUAAGGUUAGACCAAAUACUUACCUCGAAUUUCCACGGCUAACUGAAGCCUCAAACACCGCCUUUCCUUUCGAAUUUGGCUCCAAAUCAAUUAUAUCUAGACAUAAUCGACUUAAUAACAUCAAUAAACGCUAAACAAUCCAAUUUCAAUGCUUAAUUAUAGUUUUUUAAUCAUUCUUCCCAAAAAGUCAAAAAUAGACCCCCGGCCCGCUUGGUCAAAACACGAGGUUCGGACCAAACCCCGAUCACCCAUUCACCCACGAGCUCGAAUAAAUCAUUUGUUUUGAAAUCCGACCCCAAACAAGGUCAAAUUCCCAAAUAAUCAAAAAGCCCUAACUCUACCCAAAUCCCUAAUUUUCUACCCUUAAUCUCAUAUUUUAGGCCUAGAAAUCUAGUGGGUGUUGAUAAAAAUGGAAGAAAAUGAGCUUAGGAUUACAUACCUAUGAAGCUAUGGUGAAGUUCCUCUUCAAAAAUCGCCCAAAAGGUGUGGAGAAGAUGAAGUUUAUGAAAUAUGGUGUAAAUCCCGUAAUGUAUUCUAUUUUUGGAACAUAAAAUAACUGGGCAAAUUUGGUCUUCGCGUUUGCGUCAAGCUCAUCGCGUUCGCGAUGAGCUAGGCCUGAGAGACCUUCGCGUUCGCGUAAACAGGCUUGCAUUCGCAGAGCAUUAACUCCUCGGUCCAUCGUGUUCGCGGCCAAGAGGUCACGUUCGCGUAGCAGGAAAUUUCCUUCAGCAUGAAUAACUCAUCGCGUUCGCGAGGGUCCUCCCGCGAACGCGAAGAAGAAGAUACCAGCACACCAGAACUGAAAAAUCUGCAACUUUUAUGAGUUCAAAAACCUUCCGAAACAUAUCGGAAACUCACCCGAGCCCUCGGGGCUCCAAACCAAACAUACAUACUAACUCAAAAGCAUCAUAUGAACUUAUCGUGCGAUCAAAUCGUCAAAAUAACCCCUUAAACAACGAAUUAAACCUCAAAACCAAUGAAAUAUUUCAAAACUUCUUAAAACAUCAAAUUUUGCAUUUAAGGUCUGAAUCACGUCAAAUGACAUCUGUUUCUAUCCAAACUUCACAGAAUUAUCUUAAAUCACAUAUAAGACCUGUACCGGGCGCCGUAACUAAAAUACGAGCCCGAUACCAACAUGUUCUAAUCAAAAUUCAUUUCCAAAUCCUUUAAACAAUUUUAGAAAAUAAUUUUCUUUGAAAAUUCAUUUCUCGGGUUUGGGACCUCGGAAUUCGAUUCCGGGCAUAUGCUCAAGUCCCAUAUUUUCCUACGGACCUUCCGGGAUCGUCAAAUCACGGGUCCGUUUACCCAAAACGUUGACCGAAGUCAAAUUAAUUCAUUUUAUUGUCAAAACUUAUCAUUUUUGACAGAUUUCACAUAUAAUCUUUUUGGCUACGUGCCCGGACUACCCACGCAAAUCGAGGUAACGAUAAAAGAGGUUUUUUAAACCAUUGGAAUGCAGAAUUCAUUUUAAAAAUAAGUGAUGACCUCUUGGGUCAUCACAAUAAUAACCAGACAUCACUCUUAGUAUAUGGUUAUCUUUCUAAUUUCUUAACAAUUUUGAUGGAUUAACCUUUAAAUUUCUAGGAUAAACCGGUUAAGUAAAACCCAAAAAUAACCACGAAUGGGUAUAUGUGUUUAACCGUGGCCAGGGUGAGGUUAAAGAAAAAAUAGUUAAGAAUAGAUUUAUUUCUCUACAAGAUUGGGAAGAAGAGAUGAACAUAGUGAAGUAAAAAAAAGUAUAGAAAAUUAUAGAAGGGGUAAUUUCGGUUCAUAAUUUAGAUAAUACUGUAACAAUACAGGUUUAUAGAAUAAGAGAGGGAGAGUACCGAGUAGGAUUUUUAUAAUAUAAGAGUUUAAUCACAAAAAAUAUUCUUAUUGUUAAUGUCUAUUAAUCGUUAUAAUUAUAGUAAUCUAGAAAUAUUUGCUAGAAGUCUUACCUAAAGUUUAGAAGAGUUUAAAUUAGACGUAGAAAUCGGAUUUUAUUCUAUAAUAGACUUAGCUGUACAUUUAAUAUACCUACAAUAAAAUAGUAGUAUUUGUUCAUAUAUAUAUAGAAAACAACUGCAUAUGAUAAUUUUAAUAUUAUCGUAUCAUCAAUCAUACCAUCUAAGAAGAAGAUUAUAAUUUUAAUAAAGACAAACCUUAUUAUCUAUAUCUAAGACUCUAUUUUAUAUCCAACCCUAUCUUAUAGAAAACAGAAGGGUAUAAUUUCUAAAAAGAAAAAUGAGAAAAUAGAAAACAUAAUUAAACAAACAUUAGAAAAUUUCUUUCAAGAAAAAGAAGAACAAGACAAACAUAUGAUUAAAAAUCCUAGUCCUAAUCCAAGUCCAAGUCCUAAUCCAAGUCCAGAAAGGUCUCAAAGCUCCGGGGAAGAUGAUAAUUACGAAGAUGAAAACCACCUAAAUUAUCAAGAUGCUCAAAAUCCAUACGAAGAUGAUUCAAGAAUGAGUUUUGAUUCAUUAGCUCUACAUAAUUUAGACACGUAAAAGGAAGCAAGGUCUCAGUCAAAAGCAAUUGAGAGCAGCAAAGACAAAGAAAGAGCAAUAAUUUUGGUAUCCCACUAGGCGUGCCAAUGCGAAAGACAAUUAAAGAAAAGAAGACGUGACAUAAAGAAGAAAAAAAAAUAAAGGAAAGAAGAUGUGACAAAAGGUAGUGUUAACCGAAACAACAAAUAAAUGACAAAGGGCCCCAGAAUAUCAUCACUUCUUUGUCUCACAACACAAUACGAUAACAAAAAUCAACAGCCAAGAAUAACCAUAAUACAACAUCUCCAUUUCGUGCAACCCGAUCCAUAUUUAUAUGUAUAUAUAAUNNNNNNNNNNNNNNNNNNNNNNGUGACCUUGCAUAUACAUUGUCCCUAGACAUAAAUCAUAUAGCAAAUAGACCAAUCAAGUCUUAAUUCCCUCAAGUCAAAGUUAACCAUAAUGCAUACCUCUUUCCGGAAGCAAAUUAAUAUUCAAACACCACUUUCCCUUUGGAACAAGCCUCCAACCCAAUUGAAUCUACUAAAAUAUUAUUCAAACACAUUAAAACAAGCUUUAGAAACUACCCCGUAUGAUAAAAAUCAAUCUUCACCAUAAUUGAAAUAGUCAACAAAAAGUCAAUACAUGCCCACGUAGUCGAAAUUCUAGAUUAAGACAAAAUUCCGAUUGCUCAUUCACCCUUGCACCCACACAUGUGAUUUGAUUCGAAAUCUGGCAUCAAUUCUAGUGUAAAUCUCAAUUUUACAAAAUCCAUAAAUUCUACCCAAAACCCCCAAUGACUGCUUUGAAAUUCAUAUAUUUGAUGAUGAAAUUCAUGAAAAGGUAAUUGAAAUCGAUUGAAAAGAAGUUAAAGUUACUAACCAAUGAAUUUGGGAAGAAAUUGCACUCCUAAAAUCGCAUCUAUGGAGUUUAGGAUUCAAAGAUAGUGUAAAAUGAGUUAAUUCCCGAAAUUCCGAACCUUAACCCAGCUGCAGAUGCUGCAAUUGUGAGCUUUUGCUCACAAUUGUGACCAUCGCAAAAGUGAACCACUGGUCACAAAUGCGAUCAGUGUAUGAGCUUGCCUAUUAUUGCAAGUGUGACAACUACCUCGCAUUCAUGAAACCCCUAGCCACAAUAAAUAGGGUGAAAGCUUCGCAACUGCAAAGCUGCCCAUGAACUCCCUAGUGUCACAAAUGUGAUAUAGUCAACGCAAAUGUGAACACCUUUGGGACACAAAUGCAGUUGUUGCUUCGCAAAAGUGAAGGUCACAACACCCAAACCCAUAUCGCAAAUAUGAGCCUUACAUAGCAAAUCUGAGGCUUGUAGUUGCAGACAGGUCUUCACGACUUUCCCUUCUUCCCGAACCUCAUCACACCCUUCAUAAGUGAAACCUAGAGCAAAACCCUCUCUCCAACCAUGAAUGCAACAUCACAAACUCUCUGAUCGGCAUAACUAUUCUACCUAGACUGCAUAGUACGUAGCCGAUCUUAAAUCAUCUUGACCUUUUGCAAGGUAUCCGAACCAAUUCAGUACCCAACAAUCAAGCCUCUCCUGGCUCAAACCAACCAACUGGAGAAUGAUACCGCCUCCCAUAUAAGGCCUCAUAAAGAGCCAUCUGAAUAUUUGAUUGGUAGUUAUUGUUGUAGGCAAACUCCGCAAGUGGCAAGAACCCCCAAAAUCCAUUACAUAGGUGCGAAGCAUAUCCUCCAAGAUUUGAAUGGUACGCUUGGACUGCCCGUUUGUAUUGGGGUGAAAUAUUGUACUCAACUCAACCCGUAUGCCUAAAUCAUGAUGUACGACCCUUUAAAAUUGCAAUGUGAACAGCAUGCCCUGAUAAAAAAUAAUGGACACAGGAACUCCAUGCAAACGAACAAUCUUGCAAAUAUAGAUCUCUUCCAGCCACUCUGAAGAAUAAGUAGCCACCACCGAAAUGAAAUGCACCAACUUGGUCAACCUAUCCGCAAUGACCCAUACUGCAUCAAAUUUCUUCAAAAUCUAUGGAGCCCAAGAAUGAAAUCUAUGAUAAUACACUCCCACUUCAACUUGAGAACCUUAAGUCUCUGAAACAAACCGCCAGGCCUCUGAUGCUCGUACUUCACCUGCUGGCAAUUCAAAUACUGAGACACAUACUCUACUAUACCUUUCUUCACUUUUAUCAACCAAUAAUGUUACCUCAAAUGCUGGUACAUCUUGGCGGCACCCAGAUGAAUGGAAUACCGCGAUCUGUAGGCCUCCUCAAGUAUCAACUCCUGCAGCCUAUCCAUAUUGGGCACACAAAUUCGAUCCUGUAUCCGCAACACCCCAUCAUCUCCAAUAGAAAUUUCAUUGGCAUCAUCAUGAUGCACCGUGUUCUUAAGAAGAAGCAAAUGGGGGUCGCCACACUGACGCUCUCUGAUGCACUCAUACAAAGAAGAUUGAGAGACUGUGCAAGCAAGAACCGGACUAGGCUCUGUAACAUCUAACCUUAUGAACUAAUUGGCCAAGCCCUGAACAUCUGAUGCUAGCAGUCUCUCACCAACUAGAAUAUAUGUGAGGCUACCUAUACCCACCGCCUUUAUACUAAAGGCAUUGGACACCACAUUAGCCUUCCCGGGAUGAUACAAAAUAGUGAUAUCAAGGUCUUUUAACAACUUUAACCACCUCCGAUGUCUCAAAUUUAGAACAUUUUUCUUGAACAAGUGUUGCAAAGCUGCCAAUAGAGGUAAUGCUUCUAUAUAAUUAAUGCAUGAACAAUACCUGCCAACUCUAAGUCAUGAACAGGGUAAUUCUUCUCAUGAACCUUUAAUUACCGAAAAGCGUAUGCAAUAACCCUCCAUCCUGCAUCAAUGCUACACCAAUAUCAAUACGUGAUGCAUCACAAUAUACAAUGUAGGAUCUCGAACCCGUAGGCAACACCAACAUCGGGGCUGUAGUCAAAGCAAUCAUGAGCUUCUGAAAGCUCAACUCACACUCAUUAGACCACAUGAAUGGGGCACCCUUCUGGUUCAAUCUAGUCAAUGGGGCUACAAUAGAUGAAAACCCCUCCACGAACCGGCGAUAAUAACCCACCAUACCCAUAAAGCUCCGAAUCUUUAUAGUUGAAGUAGGUCUAGGCGAGUUUUAAUUUGCCUCAAUCAUCUUAGGAUCCACUUUAAUGCCCUCGGAAGAUACCACAUUCCCCCCAAAAGGCAACCGAAUCCAACCAAAACUCACACUUUGAAAACUUGACAUAUAACUGACUAUCUCUCAAUGUCUGAAGUACAAUCCAAAGGUGCUGCUCAUGCUCCUUUUGACUGCGGGAGUAUACCGAAAUAACAUCAAUGAAGACGAUCAUAAAAGAAUCCAGAUAAGGCUUGAAUACCUGGUUCAUCAAAUCCAUUAAUGGAGUUGGGGCAUUUAUCAAGACAAAUGACAUCACUAAGAACUUAUAAUGCACAUACCGAGUCUGGAAGGCUGUCUUAGGGACAUCUGAUGCCGUAAUCUUCAACUGAUGGUAGCCAGAUCUCAAAUCAAUCUGGAAAAAUACUUUGGCACCCUAAAGCUGAACAAAUAAGUCAUCAAUCCUCGGUAAGAGAUACUUGUUCUUGAUAGUGACUUUGUUAAACUGCCGAAAAUAAAUACACAUCCUCAUCGUACUAUUCUUCUACUUCAUGAACAACAUUUGUACACCCUAGGGCGAGACAAUAGGUCUAAUGAAUAAUUUUUCAAGAAAAUCCUGCAACUGCCCCUUCAAUUCCUUCAACUCAGUGGGGGCAUACGGUAUGGUGGAAUAGAAAAGGGCUCAGUUCCCUGAGCCAAGUCAAUACAAAAGUUGAUAUCUCUAUCGGGUGGCAUCCCCAGCAUAUCUGAAGGAAACACCUCUUGAAACUCACACACAACUGGUACUAAAUCCAUGGAAUGAACCUCCACACUAGGUUCAUCAAUAUAUGCCAAAUAUGCUAGAGGUACAUUCUUAAUCAUAUGACGAGCCUUCAUAUAAGAAAUAACCCUGCUACUAGAAUGGCCUGGAGUCCCUUUCCACUAUAAUCGAGGCAACUCCAGCACGGCUAUGGUCACUCUCUUGGCAUGACGGUCAAUAUAGUAUGAUAAGGUGACAUCAAUCCAUUCCCAAGAUAAUAUCAAAGUCCAUAAUAUCAAGAAGUAGGAGAUCUACACUAGUCUCAAGGCUCCCAAUAGAAACCACAUGCGAGCAAUAAACACAAUCUAAAAUAAUAGAAUCUUCUUCAGGCGUGGAUACAUAUGUAGGAGCACUCAAAGAAUCAUAAGGCAUAACCAGAUAUAAAGCAAAAUAGGAUGACAGAAGGAAUAAAUAGAGCCCGGAUCAAUUAGAACUGAAGCAUCUCUAUGGCAAACUGGAAUAAUACAUAUGAUAACGGUGUCAAAUGACUCUGCCUCAGGUCUAACUGAAAAUGCAUAAAAAUGGGGUUGGUCCCUACCAUUCUAACCUUUUCCACUCAGACAGCCUCUCGCUGGCUGGCCUCCACCUCUAAUAGCCUGACCUCCACCUCUAGUAGCGUGACUCUUACCUCAAGCUGGAUGAGCGGGCGGUGAAGGAACCAAUGCCAGAAUCAUGGCACAAGAACCGUGUUGUGGCAUGCCACCCUAUAACCCAGGGCGAAAAGUAGCAACAUGCCUCAGACCUCCAUAAGUAUAACAAGCCCUCGGCUGCUGUGACUGUUGACCCUGGAAUUGUCCCUGUCGACCUUGAUAACCACUCUGACAACAUUGGAUCGGCGGUGCACUAAUAGGAGCUGAUGGUAAGUUGUAGGCUAGUUGCUCAGAAUGAGACCCAUAAGAACUAAGACUGCCCGAAGCACCAUGGGUUGCAUGAAGCACUGACAGAAUCAUCUUGAGAGGAUAGCCUCAACCAAAUAAACCUCAAGAUGAGGCACCACUGAAACCACUGAAUUGAUGAGGCCUUUUAUAAUAUACUACCCCUUAUCCUGACGACGAACCAUCUCGAUCCGUCUAGCAAUCUCUACGCCCCUCUGGAAAGAAAUAUAAUCUCCGAUCUCCUUGGCCAUCUGUAACCUAAUACUGAAUGUAAGUCUAUCAAUCUCCUCACUCUCUCCCUCUCAGUAGGGAGUAAGAUAACUGCAUGGAAAGCUAAGUCCACAAAUCGGGUCUCAUACUAGGUCACAGUCAUGCUACCCUGCUGGGGGCGCUCAAACUGUCUGCAGUACUUAUCUCUCAAAGUGAAAGGAAUAAACUUUCCAGAAAUAACUGCGAAAAUUGAUCCCAAGUGUGUGGCAGUGAACUAGCUGGUCAGCUCCAUACAUGAUCCUGCCACCAUCUCUUAGCCGAACCGGUCAUCUGAAACACCGCAAAGUCUACUCUAUUGGACUCAACAAUACCCAUGGUUCACAACACCUCGUAGCAAUGACCUAAGUAAUCUUGUGGCUCCUAGAAGGUGCACUACCGAAGUGAAUAGGGAAGAGAUUUGUUAACUUAUCCAACCUCAUAAAUCCCUUAGAAGACAUUGCGGACCUCUCCCAAGUCUGUGUAGCAAAAAUAGGCUGAACUACCCAACUGGAUGGACUGUUGGAGUCUUAUAUAUGGAAGCCAUCUGCUCCAGAGGGUGAGUAGCAGGAGUCUAUGCUCCUCUCCCAGCCUAAGAUUCAGCUGGUGCCACCGAAAAAUGCAUCAGUCUAUGCCACACUCUCCAUACAGCCCACUAAACGCACUAGAGCGUCCUAAAGCCGGGGAGUGGCUAUAAAUCCAUCUAGGACCUGAGCGGGUCCGACUGGUCCAGUUUGAGUUGGGAUCUCCUCCUCAUGAUCAAUUUGAGGCUCCACAGUAGGUGCUACUACAUGAGCUCUAGGAUGAGAUAUUCCUCUACCUCAGUCUCUGGCUCUACCUCAGCCCCGACCUCUACUCCUUUUAAUGGUUGCAGCAGGGGGCUCCGGUUCCUAUUCGGCUGUAGAUGUUGUGCAUUUUCUUACCAUCUACGAGAGAACAAGAAUGGAAUGAUUCAAACAUCAAUGAUAGAAUAAAAUCACACGAUAGGGAAAGAAAGAGGCUAAAUUUUCCUAAAACUCCAUAGCCUCUAGGAGAAAAAUACAGACGUCUCUGUACUGAUCCUUUAGACUCUACUAGUCUUGCUCAUGACUCGUGACAUCAAAGCAACCUAGUGCUCUGAUAUCAAUUUGUUACGAUCCGGAAUCCCAACCUCGGGGUCGUGAUGGAGCCUAACGUCCAUUUGCUAGGCAAACCAACAUUAGUUAAAUAAUUUAAUAAUUAAACAGUUUAAAAAAGAAUAAUAAUAAUUUUUAACAAAGAUUAAAGCUAAAAUACAUGAAAUAAACACAUAACAUAACGUGGUAUAACUCAACCCAAGAAGUCUGGUGUCACAGGCACAAGAGCAACUAGAAGUCUAUAAGUAUAGUUUGAAAUAAAUACAACUGUUCAAAUGAGAUAAACAGUAAAUAUAGGAAAUGUAAGGGGACUUCAAGGUGUGCGAACACCAGCAGAUCUACCUCAGAUCUCUGAAGCAAAGUGAUCCGAGGAGACACACCUCUAAGCACCAAUGGAACCAAUAGCAGCAUCUGCACAAGAAGUAUAGAAGUGUAUCAUGAGUACAACCGACCCAAUGUACUCCGUAAGUGUUGAGCCUAAACUCGGCGAGGUAGUGACGAGGCUAUGAUAAGACAUCUAUGUAUAAACCUUGUACAAAUAUAUAUAAAGUUGCAAAAUAACAAGUACAACGAUAAAAUAUUAACUGGGAGGGGACAUGCGAGAGGGGAAAUAUCAUAAAAAUGGCAAGUAAAAAAAUCACUAAAUAACAUCUUCCGAAAUAAGCAUUAAUAUAACCAAGUAAAUCAACAAAACCGGAAAUCAAAUAAGGCACUGAAAUGAAGAUGGUACGGCAUCACCCUUCAUGCUUUUACUCUUGUCUUCACCAUGUAAUAUCAUAAUGAAAUGGCAGGGCAUCACCCUUCGUGCUUUUACUCUCGUCUUCACCAUGUAAUAUCAUAAAUGAAAUGGCACGGCAUCACUCCUCCGUGCUUUUCACUCUUCCUCGCCAAAUCAACAAUACAAAUCUAAUAAUAAUAAUAAUAAUAAUAAAUAAAUAAAAGGCGAGAAAUAAUUUCACUUCAAUUAUAGUGCCAGAAUAUUCAAACUUAAUUUUCAAAAAUUUCCAACAUCUCCAAAAUAAACAAUAAAUAUGACACGAAUAAUUAAAAUUAAUAAUCCAACUUAAACAUGGAGAAACCAAGUCAAAUAAACAACUUAGAGCAAAGAAAUAAUUCUCACUUGCAUGCUUUAACCCAAUAACAAAUGCAUAUGUACUCGUCACUUUACAUAUAUGUCAUUCCCACGCACAAUUCACAUAGAAAAUAAACCACCAAUUCCUAAUCCCUCAAGUCAAGGUUAACCACAACACUUACCUCUCUACGCAACCAAAUAAAUGCCCAACCGUGGAUUUUCCUCUAGAAUUAGCCUCCAAACCAAUCAAAUCUAACCAAAUAUAGUUUAAUAACUCAAAUAGGCUUUAGAAACUACACAUGAGUGAAAAAAUUCAAUUUUUAGUAAUUUUGAAAAAAGUCAACGAAAAUCAACCCCGGGCCCGUUUGGUCAAAAUCCGAUAUUUGGACCAAAACCCAAUUAGACAUUAACCCCGAGCUCGAUGGGUGUUCAUGGAAAUGUAAGGAAACAAGUUAAAAUCUACUAAACUAUGAAGUGGGGAUAAAAAAAACUCUUCAAAAUCGCCUCCAGGUCGAGCUCAAACUUGGAAAUAGUUAAAAUUGGGGAAAACCCCAUUUUUUAGAAGUUUAAAUCACUGUGCAACAUGUGUUCUUUGCGUUCGAAGCACCUGAUGCGACUGUGAUAUACAGCGGCCCAAAUGGCCUUCGUGUUCGUGAGAUAACCUUCGCAUUCGUGAUGGCCUCACCCUCUUGGCCUUCGCGUUCGCGAUCCUAGGUUCACGUUCGCGAAGGGUAAACCCCCCCUCUGCUACUUUGUUCGCGAUCCAGUCCCCGUGUUCGCGAAGAAUAGGUUCCGUCCCAGCCCAGUUUCCCCUUCGCGAUCGCAAAGCACAUAGCAUCAAACACCAGCAAAUAGCUGAAACCAGUAACUUUAAGUCCAAAAAUGAUUUGUAGCCUAUCUGAAACUCACCCGAGCCCUUCGGGCUCCAAAUCAAACAUUCCCACAAGUGUAAUAACAUCAUAUGAACUUACUCGCGCGAUCAAAACACAAAAAUAACACCUAGAACUACGAAUUAGACAUCAAAAUGCAUGAAAUUUUCAAAGAAACUCAACAACAUCCAAAUUUACAACCGAGCGUCCGAAUCCUGCCAAACUAACUUUGUUUUGCACCAAAUUUUGAAGACAAGUUUUUAAUGGUAAAAUGGACCUAUACCAAUUUCCAGAACAAAAAUCCAAACCAAGUAGUCAUAAAGUCAAUCUACGGUCAAAUUUAGGAAAUAUUUAAACCUUCAAGUUGCUAGCUUUCGAUAAAUCAAGUCAAAUCAAGUGAGGGAUUUCCGAAUUCAAUUCCAGACAUACGACCCAGUCCAAAAUUACGAUGCUGACCCAACGAGAUCGUUAAAAUGCCGAUUCUGGAUCAUUUACACAAAAUAUUGACUGUAGUCAACUCAAGUUAUUUUUAAAAUCAAAAAUCAUGUUUCUUCAAAUUUUCACAUAAAAUAUUUUUGAAAAAUAGACACAGGCUGCGCACACAAAUCGAAAAAUAUUAAAUGUAGCUAAUAGAAGUCUCGGAACACAAAAAUAAGGGCUAGAAUUCAAAACGAUCUAUUGGAUCGUCACAAAAUCUCCAACAACAAAAGAAUGGUACUUGUACAAAUUCUUUAACAAAAAGUCCAAAUUUACCCCCUCAACUUUUGGUUAUUGUUUACCUUAAAAAUGGUACUAACAAUUAUAUUUGAUUUUGUGAUUCUAAAAAUAUUUGAUUUAUUUUAGUACUAGUUGUUAGGAAAUAGAUGAUAAGCGUAAGUAAAGAGAAUAAGAUAUGCAAAUGAAUGAUGUCGCAAGACUGGGCCUCGACCUGGCUGGAACAUGGGGCCUCGAGGUCUAGUUACGACAGUUAGCAAUGAACAAUUGAAGGGGAAACAAUGAUAUCGAAGGCCUCGAAGAUAGCUUUUUGCUGCUAAUAAUGGGCAAUAAAUGAACAAGCAAUAAAUCUGUAGAGCAAUUGUUGAGCACGUUUAGGCAAGAAAAGCAGAGAAUGUUCUAUUGUAUUCAAUAUUCAUGUGUUAUAAAAUAACAGGAGUCCCCUUUAUAUAGGAGGGGAGGAAUCCCAACAUACUACAUGUCUAAUAAUGACGAGGAAAUGCUAUUGGUACAGCUGUAUAAUGGCUCGGUACAGAUUUGUACUAUUCUUGCUGACCUGGUCUGCUCUAACCACGUGUCCUUGGGAGUUUUCCCGCCUUUCCAUAACGAUCAUCGAUUUGUACUUCUCCGAGAUUGACCACAGUGAACCUUCAAUAUGCUCCCUCGAGGGACUCACCUCGAGGUCACACAUCAAAUUCUGCUUCGAGCUUCUCGAGGUCGGGCGUGGAGUGCCACAAUAACCCUAAAGUCGAACUCCCCGAUGUUGGCUGUAUACAAUUAUGAUUAAAAAAGUUCCACCAAGAUUGGAGCUCCUCUAGGGGGCCAAGGGCAAACCUUUUUGCUAAUGGGAAAAAAAUAUUAGACCAAGAGUUUGUAAUAGCUACUCAAUUUCAAUUUACAAAGGGGAAAAUUUAACUGUUUUGCCCUUAUAUCUUUUGGUCCCGAAACAUAAAAUAUCCCAUCCGAAAUUCCAAAUGGUCCAUUAUCGGCAAGUAGCUUUCUUUUAUUAUAGUUAGUUGACAAAACACUAUCGAGAUAUCAUUAGUAUAAUAAUAACUUCAAAGUCCAUCUUCUUAGCUGCCUCCUCAUUAGAGCCGCCACUAAAAUAAGACCGAUCAAAUAAAAGCCGCCAUUAAAAUAAUGAAUUUUAGGACUCUCAAUUGUCACGUAAGUGCCAAAACUCUUCCAAUACUUUGCUGCAACUUGGGGCUGCUAGCUUCUGAGCUUCCUGGGAUAUUUCUAUGUUUAUCUCUUAAUUUACAUCUCAACUAAUAUCAAGAAAUUAAACAGGUGCAGCAAAUCAUAAAAUUUUCCUCUAAAGAAGAAAAUGACUCCGGUUACUGAUUCAUUGGCCUUUUCAGAGUCUGCGUGCCAUAUUCACUAAUGGGUCGUUUGGUACAAGAAAUAAUGAUAAUAAUUUCGAAAUAGAAUUUGGGAUUUCAUUUAUUUCAUAUUUAAUUAUAAAUAUUAGCUAAUUUCGAAAUAAAUUUUACAUUAAAAUAGUGAAAUCAACUAUCUCAUAUAUAAGGUGGAAUAGCUAAUCUCAUAGCCACCUCAGUUAGAAUCCAGUUUCCUCUAAUAAAUGCAGCGAAAUAUUAGAAGACUUUCAUUAAAUCAAUUCAUAUAAUUUAAAAAUACUAGACAUGGAAAAAAAAAACGAUUCGAGACUGUUAUGGAAGGCGUUGCCUUCGAUGUAGAUUCUCAUCCAUUGCUUUCGUGCAAUAGCAAUAUGACAUCUUAUUCUUAGAACUACUUUUAAAUGAAAGUCAUAUAGAACUUUAAAAUCUCUCAACUAGUUUUAAGGGAAUUCAAAAUACGACCAAUAUUUAUUACUUACUUAUGGAUAAAUUUAAAUAAUAUGUAUUUUAUCUUGAAAUUGAAUUGAAAAUAUUAAAUUACUUGGUUUAAUAUAAACAAUAGAUAUCGUUAAGUAUUUACCACAAACAUUUUAUUAGUUGUAACGAUGAUUAAGCAGGAAUUCCUCUGGUUGUGCAGGAUGAAAGAAACUAACUAGCUAUAAUUUCUUUUGUAAAGUCAAGAUAGUACGGCACCUUAUGGAGAAAAUAAAUAACUUUACAUCAUCAAACUCAUCUUCUUUUUUCCACAAAAUGAUCAAGUUGACAUGUUAAUAGCCAGGUCACCGGGGGCGGCUCUUAACUUCAUUAGCCUACGAAUAACAAAUCCAAUAUUAUAUUUACACAAGGCUAUAUAUAUAUCUCAAUAUAAAUAGCUCGUUGUUCAUCUUAAUUCUCCCAACAAGUCUUCCCAUCAUGUCUACCUCACAUAAACAUAAUACUCCUCAAAUGGCUGCUAUCACACUCCUAGGAUUACUACUUGUUGCCAGCAGCAUUGACAUAGCAGGUUUCUGGUCAAAUAUUUGAACUUCCCAGCCAAAAAUAUUGUCUUAUAAUUUUGUGUGCGCAAAAUUUUAAUUUAGUUGAUAGUUAUUUGCUUAUUUUUCUUUUCAAAUUGCUUGUGUUUUUUUCUCAAAUUAACUUGCACCGUAUUCAUUUAGCGAUAGUUAUUUGCUCUAUUUUUGUGUAACACUCACUCACAAACUUUUCAAUUUGAGGGGAGGACAGUGAAUCUAAGAUUGAAAUUUAUGAGUUUAAUUAGACUAAUUCCCAUUUGAUUUAUUGGCUAGAAGUCAAUUAUUUGCAUAGUGAGUCUUUUAACACACAGAUUUGAGUUAAAGCUACUACGUUCGUAUUAACCCAUAACAUAUACACCUUCUGUUCUAAUUUCUUUGACACUUUUUGUUAGUUUGUUCCAAAAAGGACGGACAUAUUUGAUAUUUGAGAAUACUUUACCUUAACCUUAAUAGAAUUUUUUAUGACAUCACAUAUAUUAUGGAAUAUAUACGACCAUAAUUUUCAAAUAUCUUAUAGUCGUACAAAUAUUAUAGCAUGUUUAAUACCACAACUUUCAAAUUCUUCUUUUCCUUAAAAACAAAAUAUGUCACAUAAAUUAAAAUAGAGGAAGUAUACUACAUCAAUCAGCCCCUAGUGGAGGGGACCUACUGUAAGUUUUUAAGUUUUCAAGAAUUCAGUAAUUGAUUAGGAGCCCGUCUGGACAUAAAAAAAAAUUCCUUUUUUUCCAAAAAAUGCCCACUAAAUUUCUAACACUAUUUUGUAAUUCUUAUUGAGCAGGGGCUCAAUCGAUAGGUGUUUGCUAUGGAAUGCUAGGCAACAACUUGCCAAAUCAUUGGGAAGUUAUACAGCUCUACAAGUCAAGAAACAUAGGAAGACUGAGGCUUUAUGAUCCAAAUCAUGGAGCUUUACAAGCAUUAAAAGGCUCAAAUAUUGAAGUUAUGUUAGGACUUCCCAAUUCAGAUGUGAAGCACAUUGCUUCCGGAAUGGAACAUGCAAGAUGGUGGGUACAGAAAAAUGUUAAAGAUUUCUGGCCAGAUGUUAAGAUUAAGUAUAUUGCUGUUGGGAAUGAAAUCAGCCCUGUCACUGGCACAUCUUACCUAACCUCAUUUCUUACUCCUGCUAUGGUAAAUAUUUACAAAGCAAUUGGUGAAGCUGGUUUGGGAAACAACAUCAAGGUCUCAACUUCUGUAGACAUGACCUUGAUUGGAAACUCUUAUCCACCAUCACAGGGUUCGUUUAGGAACGAUGCUAGGUGGUUUGUUGAUCCCAUUGUUGGCUUCUUAAGGGACACACGUGCACCUUUACUCGUUAACAUUUACCCCUAUUUCAGUUAUUCUGGUAAUCCAGGCCAGAUUUCUCUCCCCUAUUCUCUUUUUACAGCACCAAAUGUGGUGGUACAAGAUGGUUCCCGCCAAUAUAGGAACUUAUUUGAUGCAAUGCUGGAUUCUGUGUAUGCUGCCCUCGAGCGAUCAGGAGGGGCAUCUGUAGGGAUUGUUGUGUCCGAGAGUGGCUGGCCAUCUGCUGGUGCAUUUGGAGCCACAUAUGACAAUGCAGCAACUUACUUGAGGAACUUAAUUCAACACGCUAAAGAGGGUAGCCCAAGAAAGCCUGGACCUAUUGAGACCUAUAUAUUUGCCAUGUUUGAUGAGAACAACAAGAACCCUGAACUGGAGAAACAUUUUGGAUUGUUUUCCCCCAACAAGCAGCCCAAAUAUAAUAUCAACUUUGGGGUCUCUGGUGGAGUUUGGGACAGUUCAGUUGAAACUAAUGCUACUGCUUCUCUCGUAAGUGAGAUGUGAGCUGAUGAGACACUUGAAAUCUCUUUACAUACGUAUUCCUUGGAUGGAAAACCUAGUAAAAACAAGAGAAAUUUUUUCUUUAUGCAAGAUACUAAAUAACAUUGCAUGUCUCUGUAAGUCCUCAUGGAUUGUUAUCCAGUGACGAUGCAACUCUGAGUGGUUUUAAAUUCCUUUUCUUUGUGAUAUUGGUAAUUUGGCAAGAAACUUUCUGUAAGUUUGUGAAUUUCAUGCAUCAUUAAUUAUACAUCAGUUCCAUGUUUGAUCAGAUUGGGAUUUGG